RNAcentral lists this long non-coding RNA (60907 nucleotides) under Triticum aestivum (bread wheat). RNAcentral describes it as "long non-coding RNA (TAES_LNC005278)". The record is from RNAcentral. Lineage: Eukaryota; Viridiplantae; Streptophyta; Magnoliopsida; Poales; Poaceae.
AAAAUGUUUUGCAAGAGAUUCCAGAUGCUACAACUAGUUCUCAUUAAAUUGGAGGAUACAAAAUCAAAUUCCCAAUACAAAUACAUUUUUAAUCUGGAACUAACAGAGGUUACAACAGAGAACAAUCCCUGGUUUCUCAAAUUGGAAUUCAUGCCCUUUUUAUGUCAUCGUUACAAACUAGACUUCUUUUUUUUCUAAUAAGAACACACACUAUAAAGGAAAAAUAGAAAUUUCUUUUGCCAUCCUUGGUGGAGCACAUAACGGCAGGUGCAACAAGUUCAGAGUGUGCAAGUAGAAAGGAAGAGGUUCGGAGAAAAAGACUGACACUUGGUCAUGCUGCGGAGGCGUCCUAUAGUCCAUACUUGUCUGGAGCAGCAGUAAUGAGGACACAACUAGAGAUGGCCAACGGAAAUUUUGCAAAUAACACUCCUCGCCACAUCACAUAAUUUGAUCUCCUCCAGUACCUGCUACUACUACUCCUCCUUGUUGGAUUUGGGCACGGCCAACCUGACGACCAACAACAACAGUAGCACAGGUGGGUCUAAUUUUCUAUUAACAACCACUGUCAUACACUGACCAUUGGAGGACAAGUCGUGGCUGUGCACGAGAGAUGCAGAGGGACAAGGGGAGCGUGGAGUGGAUGAGGUAGGAGGGGCUGAGAACAGCAUCAUCGACAGCGGGGCUGACUAAGACGACCUGCGGAGGCGUCGGACGGCGGAGAGACGAGGCUGGAAGCUCGAACGGCGCGCGAUGACCAGCUCAGAGGCGGUGCAUGGGAGAAGGCAGGCUGCGGGGGUGGCGCACGGCGCCCGGUGCACAAGUGACCCGAGAAAGGAGGCGGGAUACAGGGUUGACCCACGGUGAGGUGGGAGGAGCUGGAAGUCCAGAUCAGGGUCUCGGCGUGGUUCGCCAUGGGGAUCCAUGGUGAUGUAUGGCGACUCGCUUGGGGGAGGGAGGUUGGAGCGCCGGCAUCAUCUAGGAGAGGCGAGUGGUGGAAUGAGGAGGGCGCGAGCUCGGGAACGGCGGCGGCGGGCGAGCUCAAGAACGGCUACGGUGGCGCACUAGCUCAGGAACGGCGGCGCGCGCGAGCACAGGUGCCGGCAACGCGUGGAGGUGUGUGGAUCCUGGUGGCGGCGUUGGUGAGAAGUUGGCGGUGUGGGGAGGUGGGUCGCGGCGGCGGUGGUGCGCAGGCGGCAGCGCAGGGAUGUGGCGGCGCGGCGCACGGGGCUGCUUGGGCGCAGCGGCGAGGAUCUGGGAGGUCGCCGCGGCAGUGGCGGAUCUGGGGAGAUAAGACGAGGCGUUUUUUUGUUUUGGGAAGUUCGGGAGGGCCCUGUCGGGCCUACAUAGUGCGUUGUGAUCCGAAUAGUUAUUCUAAUCCCAGGAUUAGAAUAGUGUUACUAUAUAUAUAUAUAUAUAUAUAUAUAUAUAUAUAUAUAUAUAUUCCUACCCAAGUUAAAGGGACCAAAAAGAGUCUGUUGUAAAAGCACAACUCAAACAUAGGUACCCCUUGGGCACAACCACAAUAUCACUUGGGGGCUUGGUCAUAUUCGAACCGUAGCUUAAACCCUCUUAGUAGGCGUAAGGCCACCAGGAAAAUCACUUGGGGGCUUGGUCGUAUUCGAACCAUAGCUUAAACCCUCUUGAUAGGCGUAAGGCCACCGGGGAAAUCACUUGGGGGCUUGGUCGUAUUCGAACCAUACCUUAAACCCUUUUGAUAGGCAUAAGGCCACCAGGGAAAUCACUUGGGGGCUUGGACAUAUUCGAACCACAGCUUAUACCCUCUUGGUAGGCGUAAGGCCACUAGGAUGAUCACUUGGGGGCUUUGGUCUAUCCGUACCAUAGCUUAAACUCUCUUGAUCGGCACAAUGCCACAAUUAUGCCAAUUCAAAACCUCUUGAUUUUUUAGGUUUAUUUAAUUCCACUUAUCAUACUUUAUGGUUCUAAUGCACUGAUGUUCAUUAAACCGGCUUGGUUUUGACUAUAAGUCGUCAGUAUGCUAUCCGGUGUUUUUAACAACACCCGGUCCAACUUUAUCUGUAAACCGGUAACAUCUGAUACUUAUCAAGGUUCCAGUUGUGGGUUCUAACCCUCAUUACACUAGUUUGGGGUGAUCAACCAUCAUAGGUAUGAUAUCUUUUAAUGAUUAUUAUUUCCACCAGCUUUGAUUAUAAAUCAUGAUAAAUUCAUGUUGGGGCAGUAUAACCCAUCCUGCGGUAAACCGCCAGGACAUUUUUUCUCUGUUGUAUGAAGGAACAACUUUAGGAUGAAUAAUAUCAUCAGGCAUACAUGGCGUGUCUUCACAUAACGGAUAAAGAAGUAUCAUAGAAACAACCAAAUAUGCACGAGGGAAUAUUAAAGCAAAAAGUUUGAAGCUAGCCCAUUACAAGGCAUUUUGAGCCCAAAAGAUAAUGGUUUUUAAGUCUCAAAUAGCAGCUGAUAAACCGACCCCGGCUCAUGAAUCCUAACCCGGCUGACUAGAUGGUUGCACCUCACCCCUUGCCGGUUCGUCUUCCUCCACCGUCUGGAAAUUGGGUUUGGACCAGUCAAAGCCAUGAAGGGCGACAAAUUCAGACUCAUCAUCAAUCAGACCAGACGGGUCAAUCUCAGGGGCGAAAGUGUGCUUACGAAUCGGCGGGAUUAAGUCCAUCACUUUAUAGGAAGGAGUCGCCAUCUUCUUAUUGUCUGCAUCAAAACCCGGCCGAUACUUAGUGAGGUUGGUUUCUUAACCGAUAAUGGUAGCACGAGGACGCGUUUCCUUGACACAAGCAGCAAAAUCUUCUUGGUUGAAAGGUGUUCCAUCUUCUUUAAAGCUGGGGGUAUCCUUUAGCCACGUCUGCCGGGUCUAAUUCUGGCACCCAGGCUUUAGCAGAGCUUAAAGUUGUUACAACUCCAGCUCUCGCGCAUGAUCGCUUGAUUUCUUGGAACCGGCCGGGCAAGAUAGACAGCUUCUUCAAGAUGUCACUUAAUAGAGUCGGCCACUGAUUCACGGGGGAGAUAGGGGCAAGCGUCCGUUGAGCUCCGGUGUACAACUGUUCAACUAGCGUGUAAACCGCCUUCAGCUUUACCAUGGUAUCCCUGUUCAGAUUGCUGCUCUUGGGACCUAAAAAUAUCAUACAAUGAGUUAAGUGGCGGCUUAUAAUGGAAUAUAUUUAUUUGAAGUAUGUAACAAAGUGACUUACCGAAGAUUGCAGAAACCAUUUGAGACACACAGUUCUUUAAACCGGUGAGUUUAGCAGUGACUUCUCCUAGAGCCGCUUCAGCCUUCUCUGCACGAUGUGUUAAAACAAUCUUCUCAUUAGCCCAAGCUUAUUUUUCCGCUGUGAAGUUGGUCUUCAAUUUUUCGGUCUCAGAAACACUCAACUGGAAUUUGGAUUCAACCUUCUUUGUCUCUAUCUCUUGAGUCCCUAGUCGGGCCUUGGCCUCAACAGUUGGGAUUCUAGUUCUGUGGUUGCAGCCUGCAUACAGCAUAAUGUUGUUUCAGUUUCAUGGCGGAUUAUAAAAGAUAAGUCCCAAGUGUUUUGUCAACAAUAACACUUGGCACUUCGGGGCUAAUGUCUGUCAGCGCAAUUUUUUUCCAAAGGAAACAAUUUUUCUAAAAAGUCCAAGUGUUUUGCAGGCAACAACACUCGGCACUUGGGGGCUAAUGCAUAUUGCUUGACUUUUCUUUCUACAAGUGAGCCGUAUAAGCUGUCCACAGUCUCAGCCGGCUCAGGCAGGUUAUACGGUUUAGUUCAAUGCAAUAAUUAGUACGACCGGCUCAUUCAUACUGAUUAAACCGGCCCUUGGAGGCUAGUAGGCUAUAUAACUUAUAUGAGCCGGAGAACAUACCUCAUAUUUUUGAUGCAUAUGUUUGACCAUUUCAAUUUCUGAGUCAUGGCUGGAGUGCACUUGACUGAGAUAACCGGAUAGCACUUCACUAAUACUCAGGUGAGCAUAGUGGGAGACAUCCAACCUCACCUUUUGCCUCUACAUAACUUCUUGUUUGGCAGAGUGUCUUGCCAAGACAGUUGGGUUCCCCAGUUCAACGAAUCUAGUGCUAGUGAUUAAAACAUCAACAUUGUGCUUCUCCGGCGGGUUAGCUGAGCUUGACGGAUCAAUACUAGAUGGAUCAAUAGUAGUUUCAUCUGUAGACUGCUCGGGUAAAUCAGGUUGAACGUUGAAGGCAAGGUCCUCUGGCCAUUUAGCGUGUUCGGGCAGAAAUGUUGACUGCUCCAGGUCUUCAAGAUGUUCUGGUACGAGGUUUGGCUACUCCGGUUCAGUGGUUCUCGGAUCCUCAGCCGGUUUUGUUACAUUUGCUUUCUUGGGCUUUGCUUGACCGCUAGAAAGGAUUAGACAAGUCAGUACAAUGAUACAUAUUUAAAGGUGUAUAAGAAGGGUAGUUAUCUUUACCCGGGGGCGGUCUUGAAAGCCGGAAAUUGCGUCUGUGAUGAAUCGCAGGAGGAGGAACGGGAAAUCUCCUAUAAAUAUGGAAUCAAAAAGAAGUGAUGAAGGUAAUUCAUUGAAUAAAUACAAGGGUGAAAGUCAAAAAAGAACCUCAUUCUGGCGUUUCCAAGGAGUUUUUGGUAAGCCGAAGGGUAAAUCGUCGUCUCCACCGGCUGAGUCUGCCGGCGGCUUUCAUGUUGCUGUCGUUUAAAAAUAAAAUGAGGAUCUAAAUAAGCCAAGGGGUGUCAAAACCUUUCUUUCCGGGUUACCCGCCGAAGUUUCUGCCUUGGUAAAGGUUCUGAGUCGGUGGAAAUAAUAUUUACCUCUUCUUCAACUGCCUGGCUGGCCCCCGUGUCAUCCUGGUAAUAGUCAAUGUCAAUAAGGUGGUUAAAAAGCAAGCCAAGAGAGUCAAGGGCUACCUCUGACUCAGAGGUGUCAUCCAGCUUGAGUAACUCAGAGGCGGUUGGCUUCUUCUUCUUCGAUUUUCUGACGAUUUUCUUGGCGGCUAUCGUAGCAGCUCUAGCUUUCUUGGCAGCCUCAUGGUCAUACUUGACUUUCCAAAAGUUAGAUUUAGCCUGUGGAAGGGUAGCAUGUUGAAAUUCAUGCAAAUAUUUAAACUGCUGAAGGAAAAGAAGUCAAAGGAUUUACCUCUAGCGCCGGGUUAAGCUUGCAGAAAGGAUUUAACCCCACUAUGCUACAUCUUCAUACUUGCUGUUGACAAGAGUAGUUGCCAUUUCCGCAAUGGCUUCUUCCGUCAGACGCAGGGAACUAUGACGUAAUGGAUCAUCUAUUCCUCUGGUGUAGUUACACAUCAAGCCAGAUCGGCGGCUCAGAGGGAUGAUCCACCAUGCGACCCAACAGUGGAUCAAGUCAACUCUAGUUAACCCAUUUCCAAGUAAGGCUUGAACUUUUUGGAUUGUGGGGACAAGUUUCUUGCAUUCAGCGGCAAAAAGCUUAUCAGGAAGUUGAUACUUGGCGUCAAGACGUUCAACACAGUAACCCGGCAUUGGGUUUUCAUCAGACGGUGAGGAAUCCUUGCAAUAAAACCAUGUCUGAUUCUAAUCCUUAGGAUGGCUUGGCAGAACUACAAAAGGGAAGAUGGCAUCCCAUCUACGUUGAACUGAAAUCCCGCCAAGUUCUAAGCUGGGACCAUUGGUGUAUUCAUUCUGGCGGUUCAGGUAGAAAUAUUCUCUAAAAAGCUCCACCAAAGGUUCUUGAAGAUAAACCUCGCAGAAAACUUGGAAGUUGCAGAUAUUUGAUAUGGAAUUGGGUCCGAUAUCUUGCGGGUGAAGCUUGAAAAAAUGCAAAUCAUCUCUAAAUAAUUUUGAGCCGGGUGGUGAGAAGCCCCUGUUCAUGUGAUCAGUGAAAACAAUAAUUUCACCGUCCUUCGGCUGAGGUUUCACUUCAGCUGGGUCAGGAGCAUGGUAAGACAUGACACUUUUUCAGGUAAGUAUCCAACAGUGACAAAGUCUUUCAAAGUACUUUCGGUGACUGUGGAAGGGACCCAGUUGCAAGUGGUCAUCGUCUUUGGAGGCAUGAUGAAAUGACAAUCUAAAAGAAAUAAUUUGCCGGAUCAAGUUAGUUAGUGGGACUGCAAAUCAACAACUACAGAGCUUGUUUUAAGCAAGGGCUAAUGAUAUAUGAGGUACAGGUAAGCCGGGAGAGUAAGCCGCCAUGGUUAAGAUAUUCAAGAAUGACCAAAAACAAGAUUGGCUAAAUACUGAGAUAAACAAGUUCCACAUUUGGAGGUUAUAAAUUUGGAUUUACUGCCGUUCAGGAAAAGGGGAUAAAUUCAUCUAUAAAAGGCGACAAUGGAAAAAUAGAGAAGCCCUAGAGGAGAUUUUCCACGGCGGGGAUGUGAUCUAGUAUUAAAACAAGUGCUAAAACUACCACCGCGCAAGCUUUCCAUAUAUUUUGGAUCUAAUACGUGGAUCUAAAUAAAGGAAAAGGAGGAGGAGGAUGAACGCAGAUGAACACCGAAGAACACCGAUGAAACCCUAAUGGCGAGAUUAGGGAUGAACAGAGGAAGACUUACUGGGGAUGUAAGAGUAGUGGAGUUGCACCGCAGUUCUCUGGUUUUCUCAGGGCGAUGCAGCGGCCGGAGUCGAGGACGAGGACAGAGGUCGACGGCGGCAGGGCUCGUACUAGGACGGCACGCUGUGAGGAAGGAAGGAGACGGAGAAGAAUGGAAGAUGGCUUUCGGGUCCUAUUUAUAAGGAGACAGAAACAGGCAGGCACGAAAGACGAGGAUGCCAAAUGAUAGUUAUCCAGCUAAUUGGACGCCUCGAUUUUCGGGAAGACAUUAAGAUAAAGAUCUGUUAAGAUGGCGUCGGGCGGGUUUCCAAAAAUCUAGGAGAUGACGUCAUGGCGGGUUACAAGUUUUCGUAGCGGGAAUGAGAGGAUUUUUUCUAAGUAUUGAAGGUUGACAUGAACGAGUCCAAAUCAACCUGGGCCUAAUGUUGGGGAUAUGAUUAUUAGGUAUGACCCGCCCAGGAGGGGCCGGGUCAACCCUAUGAAGAUUCAUCACAAUGAAGCCCAAGGUCACAUGUCGAUUCAUAGAUAGGCUUAGUAGAGGGCCCAGACCCAAAGGUGGCUUAAAGCCCACGAGUAUGAACCGCCAUAUAUGUAAACUUGUACUGUAAGGCAUGUGUAAAAGGUCACCGAGCCGGAUACAUUGUAUAAGCCGGCCGGGACUUUGAGGGCCACAGGGCAUCUUCCUGUGUAUAUAAGGGGACGACCUAGCGGCGGCUUAGGGCAAGAAACAACAGAUCGAGAGCCAGGUCAAGCAUAUUCGCUCCUUGCUCGUCGAAACCCUAGCAAUACCAACUAAAAACUGGACUAGGCUUUUACCUUCAUCGUAAGGGGCCGAACCAGUAUAAACUCUCCGUGUCCUUUGUCCUGUUUAACCCCUUUUAAGUUAACCUCAACGCGAUGGCUCCACAACUAAGUGCUCACACUAGGACAUCUGCCGUGACUAUUCCACGACAGUCACGGAACUCGCAAGUUGAUCACCAAAACAUACAUCAAGUGGGUCAUGUGAAUAUCCCAUUGUCACCACAUAUAAGCACAUGCAAGACAUACAUCAAGUGUUCUCAAAUCCUUAAAUACUCAAUCCGAUAGGAUAACUUCAAAGGGAAAACUCAAUCCAUUACAAGAGAGUAGAGGGGGAGAAACAUCAUAAGAUCCAACUAUAAUAGCAAAGCUCGCUAUACGUCAAGAUUGUGCUAAAUCAAGAACACGAGAGAGAGAGAGAGAUCAAACACAUAGCUACUGGUACAUACCCUCAGGCUCGAGGGUGAACUACCCCCUCCUCGUCAUGGAGAGCACCGGGAUGAUGAAGAUGGCCACUGUUGAUGGAUCCCCCCGGCAGGGUGCCAGAAUGGGGUCCCAAUUGUUUUUUGGUGGCUACAGAGGCUUGCGGCGACGGAACUCCUAAUCUGGGUUAUUUUCUGGAGGUUUCAGUAUUUAUAGGAAUUUUUGGCAUCAGGAACAAGUCAGGAAGGUGCCCGAGUCGUCUACGAGAAAGGGCAGCGCGCCCGGGGGGUAGGGCGCGCCACCACCCUCAUGGACGGCCCGGGACUCUUCUGGCCCAACUCUUUUACUCUGGGGCUUCUUUUGGUCCAUACAAAAUCAUCAAAAAUUGGCACAUCAAUUGGACUCCGUUUGGUAUUCCUUUUCUGUAAGAGUUAAUUACACUUUUAAUACAUGAACUUGCAUGAUGGAUACAAAUUCAUACAUAAAGUUGAAAAAUGUCAUAAAGUAGUACAACAACUUGCGUUUGAGGUAUACUUACAUACAUUUCGGAUCCCAGGCCAUUAUCUCUCAAACCAAAGACAACACAACAUUGACCUAGAAAGGCUAGCCAGUCCACCAACCGUUACUUGUUGUUUAAUUUGUCAUAAUCUCCUUAUAUCAUCGACAUAAUUGUUCUUGUUCUUUCUCCAUAUAAUUUUUGAAACCAAACUGGCAUGCCUGUCGGUUCACAUUUCUACAGCCGUACUGCCCGUUUACUGGUUCCUCAGCUAUUUUUUAGGCACUAUAAUUUAGGAUAUAUUCUUUACUAAGAGCAUCUAUAGCCAGACCCUCCAUACCUGCCCUAGAUGCCCCGACGGGCUGCCUGAUCACUGUCUGGACCAAAAAACGCCACCCAACCAGGCUACCCGUAUUCGGCCUAAACGUCUGGACUUACCGAUACUCUCCAUAUCCCGCCAUAUACGGGGCGAAUAUGGGAGUCCCGGAAGCGCCUGAGCACGCCCGCCACGUAGGACUGACCGCUGGUGUCCGUGGCAAUUUGGUCAUAUGAGCCUCCCCUGUCCUUGCUUGAGGAACACUCUUCUCUUCUCUAUUCACCCUCCUCCGCAUUAUCGUCACCAGACUUACGCCGGCAUCGGUGCUCCGCCGCCAUCCCAACUCAGGGCUUCACGACCAGACGCCCCAACCCACACUGCCGCCGACCAGGUCGGCAUCGGACAAGGUUGCCGCCACCGGACGGCUUCCCGGUAUGUCAAACUCCCCCAUAUUUUCACCCCGCGCUCUAUGUGUUCGAUGAAAUGUCUAAGCUGAUUUUUGAUUCUUUUGGUCAUUACUUCUAUUUCACCAAUGGAUUCGGCAUGUAAAUCAAUAAACUUUGCAAAUAUCCUUGGACAACUUGGUUUUUUCCCCCGGUUUGUUAAAAAAAUACUUCUGGUUUAGUGGGCUAGUAAGCCAAACAAUUACUUGAAAGUAAAGUAUCACUUGCGUGUAGUGCAUAGUUUUUUAUUCAGAUCAAUUCUACCUCUAAAAGAUAUAUAAAAUCACUAUAUACAUCUGAACCAGUAAUAAUAUGUAGCUCACUGGUUAGUCGAUCACCGCUUGCCGCAAACUCUCGAGUUCUAGUCCUGUGGGAGCAACGCAUCUUUAUUUUUCUUCCUCUUUUCCCACUUACAGGUGGGCCCCACACUUAGAGACCACAUGGAUUUAACAUGGAGAUAUCCUAAAAAAUGUUAACUGGGAGAUAACAUCCAUGGGCGGAAAUGUAUGUAAAUGUACUUCAAACAUAAGUUGUUGGACUAAUUUGUGUCAUUUUUUAACUUUAUGUAUGAAUUUGUACGCUCCGUGCAAAUUUAUGUACUAAAAGUGUUAUUAACUCUUUCUGUAAAACUCAAAAACAAGGAAAAAAACUGACACUGGGCUCUAGGUUAAUAGGUUAGUCCCAAAAAUCAUAUAAAAUAGCAUAUAAAUGCAUAUAAAACAUCCUAGAUGGAUAAUAUAAUAGAAUGGAACAAUCAAAAAUUAUAGAUACGUUGGAGACAUAUCAGAGACGUAUCAGCAUGGUGUCACGUCAUAUAUUCAUGGUAACAACAUUGUCCAAUUUGGGCCAAGCUUUAUUACAAACCUCUUACAAAAACUGGAGCUUCUCUCAAAGAAGCCUCGUGGUUCUGAUAGGGAAAUGUGUCCCCCUUGUGGGCGAAACGUAAUAACUGCCUCUUUUCGCCUUGUAUUUUCUUCUACGGGCAACAUGGAACGACAGGAUAUUUGUGUUGAAAUUUAAACGAUAUUCGUUGCGUAUUCUCGCCUUGAACUUUGUUUUUUAUAGGCGACAUAGAAUAACAGGACUGUCGGGCUGAAAUUUGAAACUGUUCAGGGUUCGUUUGGCCAUUGUGUGUGUAUAUAUAAUAUUCUGAAUAAUAUUAUGAUCACAACCUGACCUACCCCGCUAGUAGUACGUUGAACUUCCCUGUGAACUAGGUUGAACUUCCGCCAACAUUGCCCAAAUGGGGCUUGCGAUAUACUGUUGGAAAGCUAUGGACCCCAAUAUCAUGACCCAACUUAAAUUUUUGGCAAAAUAUAAGCGGUUUAAGAGCAGCUUUGAAAACCGUUAAUUCUUCGCACAAAAAACAUGAAUCGUAUUUUCGAUCGCAUUUCUAAACCGUUUAUCGGAAUGAGGCAUAUAAUAUGGCGUUGGAAAGCUGCUGCAAAACCGCCCCUUCCACAUGUUGAAAGUUUUCUCUAAUUCCUUAUGGUUAAAGAGUAAUUUGAAAAAACGUAAAAUUUCGUAAACCGAACAGCUGAGUUCGUUUUUUCGAUGUCAUUUCUAAAUGGCUAAUCCAGUGGAGGCAUAUGAUAUGGCUUUGGAAAGCUUAUGAAAAUGCGCUACUUUUUCAUCUGGAAAGCUUUUUUCUAAUUUUGAAUGGUUUAAGAGUAAUUUAGAAAAUGGUCCAAGUCCUACCGAGUUCGUAUUUUCGAGCUAAUUUUUUAACCAUGCAUCCAAAUGCAUCAAAUGAUAUGGCGUUGGAAACCUUGAACAAAUGCGAAACUUUUUGGUAUGUAUUGUUUCUCCCAAUUCUUUACGGUUUUAAGUCAGUUUCGAAAAUGGCGAAAAACGUAUUUUUGCCGUAAUUUCUACGAACUUUACCGGAAUGGGGCAAAUAAUAUAAUGCUGAAAAGCUAGGGAAAAUGCGAAACUUUUUCAUGUUGAUGGUUUUCUCUUAUUCCUAGCCGUUUUCAAGUAAUUUCGAAAAUGGCGGGAUCUUGCGUUCUGCCUUUAUCGUGAAACAGAUUCUUCGAAAAUGCACCGUGUGAAGAACCUGAACUUCUCGGCGCGUGUACCUGAACUUCACUCUGUUUUUCACGUGAAUUUUUUGCUCGUAGGUCUCCAUCCACUUCUCGUAACUCUCCAUCCACUCACCGGAAUUGAGCAAGUGAUAUACCAGUGGAAAGCUGCUGUAAGCACAUAACUUUCCCGUGUUGAUCGUUUUUCAUACUCGUGAUGAUUUUAAAAGUUUUUCAUCUGAAAUUCAUUUGGCGUAGUAGUUGAACUUCAUACUGUUUUUACGUUGAACUUCUGUGACGUAUUUUCGUUUGUAAUUUUCUCAUCCAUUCGUCAGUGUUACACAAAUGAUAUUCUUGUUGUACAAACCUCUCUCACAAUAAUUUUUUAACUUUCUCCGACGAAGUACUUGAAAUUAUAACGAGAACAAAUUUAGCCUUUUCAUUUUUAUUCUUUUUAAUACAAAAUGCACAUCGUGUAGAACGUGAACUUCUGGUAGUUUAUCAACCUGAACUUCUCUCGGUUACGUGAAAAUAUCUAAGUUUUUUAUAAAUAUUAAUCUGAAUUUCUUAAUCCUUUUUUUGUGAAUUUUAAAGCACUCCAUUUUUAAAAGUUGAACUUCUUGUUAUUUUAUUUUUUGAACUUCUUAUUUCCAUUCUUUAAUAACGAGGAAAAUCUGAGUUUUCUAUAAUCAUCAAACUUCUCCAUAUUUUUAAUAUGGACUUCCUGGUUUUAUUUUCUUAAUUUUUUUAUGAAACUUUGAACUGCUGUAUUAUUAAAAGUUGAACUUCUUGUUUUCAUUCUUAACAAAUUUGAGUUUUUAUAUACUUCGAACUUCUCUGUUAUUUUGAAUUGAACUUCUUAGUCUUAUUCUUAGAAAAAAUAUGUUUUCAAAGAAGCAUCAAACAUUUUUUUAAAUCGAACCUCACACAUUUAUUGUUCCUAGGGAUGGAAAGAAUUUGAGUUUCCUGUAAACAUAAAACUACUCCUUUUAUUUUAAUUUGAACUUCUCUAUUUUUAUAUUUUUGAACUUCUGACAAAGAGAUUGUUCCUAGUGACAAAGAGAAAGCUGUUUUUUAUAAAUAUUGAACUUCUCUAUUUUUAUAUUUUGGACUUCAUGGUUUAUUUGAAAUACUUUCUUUUUCCAUUUGAACAUCUAAAUACACGGUGAACCUCUUUCAAAAGAAUUUUUGAACUUUCCCGGACCGAGCACUUGAACUUCUACCAACAAAACUUUUAGACUUUGCCCUUUUAUUGUAUUUUUCUAAUACGAAACACACACCAUGUAGUACGUGAACUUCUGACAGUUAUCGCUUUGGAUUUCUCUUUUGUUUCUCGUUAGUAAUUGAAAAAAUCUGAGUUUUUAUAGACAUCGAUCCGCUCUAACUUUUUAGAAAACAAAAUUAUAGUUUUUUCCGCUUUCUACGAUUUAAUUUUUUGUCUCGCGACAUUUUUAGGCAUUUUUUUGUUGUCAGUGAAAUGGCCUAGACGAACCUUUUUUUCAUUGAUGAUUUCCUUCAGUAUAUGGUACACGUGAACUUGUGAAUUUCUAAAACAUGAACUUCACAUUUAUAUCUAAAACAUAAUGGUUUAGCUUUUUAGAAAUAUACUUCGGGGCGUAUAUAAUCGUCAGUGUUGAAUUAUUUUGAAUACAAGCUCAAAUUAUUUUAAACUUCUUGGUUGUCCUUUUAGAAAGACGAAUAACUAUUUUGAACUCCGUCGCUCGUUAUUUAAGUUUAACCUUUCAGAAUUAUUUUAUUUAGUAAUGGUGAAACUCUUUUUUGAUAAACUUUUUUGAACUUCUCUAUUUUCAUUUUAACCUUCUUGGUUUUGUAAUACAUAUUGAACUUCUUCGUUUUUAAAAUUUGAACUUCUAGUUUUUAUUAUAAAUAGAUUCAACAUAUUACUUUUAUUCCUUUUUUUGGAUAAGAGAAACAAAAACUGUAUUGUACAGUGAGAAGUUCAUUUUUUUGCAGUGUGAAAAGUUGCAUUUUGUUGUGAAUUUGUUGUUGUUUUAUUUCUAUAUUUUUUUACAAAAUGAACAAUGCAUGUUUCGCUGGGAGAAAUGCACAAACAUUGACUGUAUAAGGGAAAUUACUACAUGCUUAUGCAGGUGCAGAAAUAUGAAUUAUUUAGAGAAGGGAGAAACUCUGAAUUUGUAGCUCGAUAGAACCUAAACUUCUGCUUUCUUUGUGAUUUGGGAGUCUGGGUAAGUUAAUAUCAUUAAGGAGCAGCAACGGAAUAGUAUAUGUUUGUGUACAGAUCCAAGAGCAUAGCUUUCACAAAACUUGUAUGAAGAUUAUCUCCAAAGAAGCAGGGACCAGGGGACUAGUCGGUCGUAGGAGAUGCAUCAAUUGCAGAGUUGAAGCACGUAAAUGGAAAAAAUCUAAGAAGUCCAAGUAUUGUUACAACGAGAGCACUACCCGAUGCAGUUGGAAUGGCUGCACACGCACGACGAUCUGGCCCCGAUCCAAAGGGAGUGGCCUUGGAAGAGGAGGCACACAACAGUGCGUACCAGAUCUCUCCAAUCCACAUGGGCCACGAGGAUGAAUGAUGAGCUGACCACACAAAAGUAAAACUGAAAAAAAGUGUCCAUGGAUCCGGUACAUACAAUCUCCUAUGAGCUUUGAAUCUGAAGCAGGUCGGCAGGGUUACUGACCGCUGCGAGUGAGAGAGACCAUGGAUGGAUCCUCCAAAAGAGAAGAAUCCUGCAAAGCUCACCAUUUUGUUUACUGUCAGCCGCUAGUAGAUCCUGUCGGUGAGGCGACGAGGUCUCACCGGCGCUAAUUAAUCUUGAAAACCAUGCGGGUGAUCUUAAGUCUGCAUGAGUAUAUAAUUAGCGCCAGUGGGGAGACAAAAGUUCAAGUACGCGUAAGCUAGCUUUGCUCCCCGCAGGGUGAACGCAUGGGGGAUAACGCGGAGGUGAACGGAGGCCCGACAUGUGGCCUUGGACAGCCGAAUCAGAUAGAUACAAGGGCGGCGCUGGCGGGAGGUCCAUCCAACCACCACACGUAGGUGGCCUUGGACUGAGGUGAAGCAUCAAUGACGGAUCCGGCCCCAGCUCUGGCCGGUGAACUUCGUGCCGCGGCCCAAUCGACCUGCAGGAGCAUGGUGGGGAGACGUGCAUGGGAUCUCUCCCCGAUGGUGAUCCAGGGCGGUGCCGGCGCAGGUGGUCAGCGGCGGAUGGUUGGCCGGGCCUCGCUCAUCGGAAUUUCGGAGAUGGCACUGGAUCCAAGAGGAAGGGCAGGAAGCGGCAGGAAGCGGGGUAGAGAGGAGGUGCUGGGGUGGGCGUCGACGGUGGGAGGCACGCCGGAGCCGGAUGGGCGGUGGCCGAAGGUGGGCGGGCGGUUUGGUAGGGAGGAUUCGGGAGGCGACGCGGGAGGUGGGCGACGGGGGAUGGGGGAUGGGCGUUCUUUUUUUUCUUCGUUUGAAUGCUCCGAUCUCAGGAACACCUCAUCGCCCCUAUAUAUAGAGCGUUGUGAUCCAAAUAACUAUAUUACUAAUUACUUAGUUUUCUAUGCAUUUAAUGUAGUCCAUAAUUCAAAUUUGAACUACAACCACAUGCUCCAGUGAAGCAAAAUGGGUGGGAAAUCGUACAUGUGUCAUUGGGUGCAUGUUUAGGUCUCGUUUAAGGAAUGAGAAUGAAUUACAAACUUGUCGUCAUCCUGAAACAUUGAGAAUCUCAGUUUUUAAAUCCCAGUAAAUCAAAAAGUCACCCAAAAAACAAGAAACUUGGCAUGGUUUCAUGACAUGGCACAUAUAUGCCAUGGUGAAAAAUCAUCCAGUUUGAGAAGAGGCACACACAUUAGUAGCUAAUGAAGUCCUUUUUGAAACAAAAAGCUAACACGUUAAUAUCGCAAAUGGUUGUAUUACAUUUACCAUGUCGAAAUUUAACCAUACCCGCUGGCGUGCGUGCAGCUGUUUGAUUAGACGGGACGGGCGCGAGAAGUCCGCCGUGCAGGCUCGACGGGAUGCAUGCGAGCAGUCCGCCGUGUCGUGGUACUAAGUUUGACAAUAGAAUGGGGGGUAGGUAUGAGGAGGCAAGAUCCUAGCUACGGUGAAGUUGUGCACGCAAGAUUUACGAGUUCAGGCCCUUCCCAGAGGAAGUAACAGCCCAACGUCUCGGUCCCCAGAGGCUUGGUCGAUAGGAUUAUGCGUGAAGUUACAUAGGGUGCGAACCCUUGUCCCAGAGGAGGGGGGUGGCUUAUAUCGAGUGCGCCAGGACCCCAGCCAUCCCCCGUUACACAGGGUUCAAUGUACAUAAAGAGAGGACGCGACUAGUAAUGCCAGCAUUAAAGUGAUAUAAAUGACCCUUAAGUCUACUGAGUGAACGUCCUACCAUUGCCAUCCAAAGUAACCAUAGAUAUUCUGUACUCUGAGUGGUUCCUGAUGGUUGAAUGAUUAUAUCCUGGUCGAAUGGAAUUGAGUUAUCCGAGUGGAACUCAUGGUCGAGUGUGUUGCAUCUUGAGGUGAUUCCAGUCGGUAUAGUUUGCUGUCCUUUGAAUGUCUUUGACUAUAGGGUAGUGCCCUUGGGAAGGGUACUUAGAUCAGGUAUAUUGCCCUACCCCAGGUACAUGUCAUCGUCAUUAGCCCCCGAAUGGUUCUGGAUCCGAGCGGAGAUGGAGUUGAAGAUGGUUUCGACCCAAUCUUUGCGCCGCGGAAGCAUUUUACUUAGUUUGGAGAACCAUGCAACAACUUCGACUUCAUUUUUAGUUGCCUUGAGCCAUUCAGAGAUUAUUGAGUGAAUUUUGCUGAUAAGCUUCGACUGCUGAUACUGCAUAAAAUCUCCGGCGUGAUUGACUGCUCUGCCGUUUCCGGAUCUCACGAGAUUCGAAAUUUGGGGAAGCGCAUGGGGCGGAGAGGGCCAUAGUAAUCAGAGCAGAUUAGGCAAGGUGCCUCGAUCCUUGCGCCACCUUUUUCAUCACGUACUGCGCGCGCGACUAUUAUGGGAUUUGACAGGAUCGCCUGGACCCACAAGUCAGCCACUCAGGGAGCCAACCCAUAUAAGGCGUUCGGGCCAAGGCCUUUGCACUAUGCGCCCCAUUUCCCCCUUCUUCCUGUGCUUCUCCACCGCAUCUGCUCUGCUCUUAGUGCCGCCGCCCAGUCCAAGCUCAAUCCGCCGCAAUGGGGAAGGAUAGGAUGGUGACUCUGGAGCGCAUGAAGGAGGCGACAACAAAGGCGAAGGGGAAGAAGACGAGCCGGGCAGGGUCGUCAUCGAGAAUUGGCCUACCGCCCGGCUGGAUCCAGGGCGACUGGAUCCGGUCGAUGAUCCAGCGAGAAGACAUGGAUGAUUUGGUGGACGGGGGCUUGAUUCCCCACAAAUCUUGGCGGCUUCUGGAGGACGAGACCGAGCCGUGACCGCAAGAGGGUGAGUGCGUCCUUCUUGCGACCCAUGUCGACCGCAGCUUCUCUUUGCCUCCCCACCCCUUCUUCCGGGGUUUCCUGAACUUUGUUGGAGCCCAACUUCAUCACUUUUCUCCCAACAACAUAACAUACCUUGCCGUAUACGUGUCCAUGUGUGAGAAAUUUCUGGGUUGGCGACCGCACUGGGGCCUCUUCAAACACAUUUUCACCUGUCGUUCUCAGUCGGUAAAAAAGGCCAAUCCGAGUGAUGAGAGGACACACGUGAUCCAGAUGUGCAGAGGUCCAGGGAUCCAGAUGAGAAAUAAAAGCACUUUCCCCGCCAUGAUUUUUCCCGAGUCAGUCAGGGGGUGGCAAUCGACUUGGUUCUAUUGUAAGGACCAACCGACCCUAGGCCAGUCGACUGGCCUUCCCCCGUUUUCCAUAGAAUGAGUAGAGAAGCCUUCUCCUUUGAGAGUGACUCCGGCUGAAAAUGCGGAGGUGAAUAUGUUGGUUGAGCGAGUGGUCCAACUUGUCCGCGAUGGGGUGACUGGCAUGGACUUGCUAGAAGUUUUUCUCAGUCGACACAUCCAGCCACUCCAAGCCCGUGAUCAUCCAAUGUGGAUGUACUCGGGUGUUGAAGACAGUACUCGGAUCCACCUAGAGGAUGUCGAUGAGGGGACAGUCGCGCAGUGGCUGCAAGGUAUUACUGGCAACAAAGACAACCCCGAGGGGUCUAGGAGGGUUGCUCCACUCGAAAACACCAUCGAACCUAACAAGGUCUUAUUCUUUCCUCCCAAGUGUAUCUUGCUCUAAUAUGUGUUUGGUCUUGAAACUGAUUGAUAUCCACUCAACCCCGUGUCUUCCAGAUCUACACUGAGAUGCACUCGAUGCCGAACGGAGAGCAGGAGGAUGAGGGAGAGGCGAGUGGAGGGGACAAUGGCGAGUGGCAUUCUGACAGAAGGGGAGACGAGGAGAGCGAGGACUUGAGCAGUGGUGAGGAGAUCGACUCCCCUCCUCGCAUGGAAAGACGCUCCAAGCAGAGGCAGGACCCGGCCAGUGUCCAUGGCAAAGCGACCCCCUCGACUGAACAGACUUCCAAGCGCACAAGGACAUCUUCUCCUGCGCCGACUGAGAAAGCCCCGAAGCAACUCAAAGUCAUGCCGCCAAAACCCUGGAAGGACUUGCCCAAGAUCAAAGUGGACAUCUCUAUCGCUUCUGGGUAAUCACUGAGCUCGACCUCUUAUUUUUAGCGUGACCCGUUCUUUGGUCGAUUCACUUUCCUAUUUUAACCGAGUAAAUUCUGAAAUUUGCAGUGCUGCCGCUGGGACUUCAAUGUACCAAGAUGAUGAAGACGAGGAGAUGGAGGAUGCAGUCACCUCCCACGCGGGUAUACCUUUGGUAAUUUGGUCUUUACUUUAUUAGCCAUUUUGAUGGUUGACUGAACUCAUAUAACUGAUUGCUUUGCAGCUCCACCGAAUGUCAUUGAACUUCCAGAUGAUGAUGAAGAUGUGGCACAGAGAGUCAUGGGGAGGAGGGGUAGGACUUAGAGAAAGAAGGCACCAGCUGGCGAGACGUCCCAGUAAACGCCGGUGAUGGAACCAGUGGUUCAGCAGUCCAGAGACGUGAACCAUGCUUCUGUUACUUUUCCUAUUCCAGUGUCAGCUGAACGCCCUUCCUCGUCGACUGCACAAGUCCCUGAUUCAUCUGUCCAGCACCAUGCCUCGGAUCCUCAAGCUGCCGUGACUGGACCCACGUCUCCACUGGUCAUCACCCAUCACGUCCCGGAAGACCAAGUAGGCGCUGCUUCAGAAGCAAUACGCCAAGCAGGCUUGAUGGUGGAGCGGAUGAAGACAAUGCACGAGACCAGCCAAGCCACCUAUGAUGCCAGUGCAGCCCUCCGAGCUAAUGUCCAGGUUAGUUGGUUUCCGACUGUUCUCCUAUCUUGACGCUUGUUCUGUUAGGAUAUGCUACCCAAAAAACUUGCAUUGUGCAUCCAUCUGUCAGUCUGUUCUUCACAUCUAUACGCAUGCUGGGUGUUUCAAUUUAUGCUUAGUAGUCUUUCCAGUUGAGUCGACUAGGUUAUGUCAAUUGCAACUUUGGACUAGUGGGGGCACGCAGAGUGCACCCACUGGGUGUAGUCCCCGAGGCCGCCGUCGAAUGUAUGAUUUGGCAGGGGUCUUGAUGAAAAUAUCUUGUUGUUCAGUUCUUCCACUUGGUCUGGGCGGACCAUGUCGAGUGGAACCUGAACUAGUGGGGGCACGCUGAGUGCACCCACUGGGUGUAGUCCUCGAGACCGCGGUCGACUGCAGGCAGUCGGUUUGGGUCUGAGAAUAACUGUUGCCUCUUUUUUUACUCGGUUUGGGCGGACCAUGUCGAGUGGAACCUGGACCAGUGGGGGCACGCUAAGUGCACCCAGUGGGUGUAGUCCUCGGUACUACUGUUGAAUGUUUGAUUCUGCAGUAGUCUUAGAGUUCUUUUCACUCGGAAGCGAAUAAUCUUCGAUUCUGUCCGCUGAUGCAUCUUUUACUGACUUUAGAAAUCUUGUGAGCUCAUCUCCAAGUUUUCUGAAUUCAAGGAGAAGCAGAGACAGCUCAACCUUGAUCUGGAGUUGGCCAAGAAGAACUUGCAGAAGGCCAAAGACGAAACAACUGGUAUGGAAGGUAACAACUUGUCGACUAUGUAAUUGGAUUGUUUCUCUAGUCGUCUCCUCAUUCUUCUCUCUGAACCGAGUGCUUGUUUGUUGUAUAUAUAUAUUUUUAGAGAAAAUGAGGCAGGCUCUGGCACAGAAGGAUCUUGAUCUUGCCGCAGCGCAGAAGGAGGCUCAGGAGAAAGCAACACUCGCCGAUAAGAAGCUAGCUUCAGUCGGGGCGCUCGAGGAAGACAACGCCAAUUUGAAGACAUCUCUUGCCAAGGCAAUCGAUAAGUGACCCGUCUGAAGAAAGACAAGGUAGCUUUGAACGAUAAGAUUGAAGGCAUUUCUCACAAGAGAAGUGAUGUAGAGGGCUAUCUGGGAGCACUCACCAAGAAGAUAUUCCUUAUGCUUGAAGGUAUCUUUCCUUGUCCGACUGUUUUGCUGUCGUCGAGUCACCAUAAAUCGGCCGACUCAUUAUCUCUUUAUGGUUGCAGAAUUCUGUCAAAACAUUGAGGAAGAAACUGGGAGAAUCGAGACAAGCUUGGACGCCAUCAAUUCUCCUGUCAAUGAUGAAGCUGCUAUGAAUGUGCACCGACUGGAGUCCCGUCUUGCCAGCGUUACAGACUACCUCGCUCGCCUGAAGGUUGCGGUGUCGCGGAUCGACACGGUGCUUUGGCCGAAGGAGAUGCUCCAAAAUGACCUCGAAUCCUUGAUGACUUGACUCAAUGAGAUCCCUGGUCGAGUGCAGGAAUGGAAGAAGUCAUCUGCUCGAUGCGGUGCUGACGUAGUUCUGUCACUUGUUCGAGUCCAUUGUAAGGAGGCUAAGGAAGAAAAGCUAGCAGCGAUCAAGGUUGCCAACACAAAGAGACUCGACUUCCAGCCUUUCAUGGAGACCUUCGUUGCUGCCGCUACUCGAAUUGUAGAUGGAAUUGACCUGGAUGAGUUCGUUGAGCCUGCCAGUCCCCCUCCUGUGGAAUGAACAAACUUUUUAUGAUCUUAUUAAAUUUGCCUCGGUAUGCCGAGUGGUUUUGUAACCGUUAAAACUCCUUCGGCCCGGAUGCCCGAGUACUUUAAUCUGCUAUCUUGAACCUCAUAGGAUUUAUCUAAACUUUGUUGGUUUUGAAUCUCUUGGCUCUGAGUGGAAUUUGAUUCUUCAGUCUAAAUUUCUACUGACUCUGUGGUGCAGCUCAGUCGAGUGGAUCAUGAACAAGGGCACUCGGUACUGUCCAUGACCUGCACCUCGUCGUCCUUGCGGAUUAGGAUGGAACAGACAUUGUAUUUGUGCCGCAGCUCUGAGGAUAAGGUCGCAGUUGACCUGCACCUCGUCGUCCUUGUGGAUCAGGAUGGAGCGGACAUUGUAUUUGUGCCGCAUCUCUGAGUGUGUUUUUAAACUUAGGCGAGUGCGGGACUGCAGCUAAGCCUUCGAGUGAGAGGAUUUCUCUCCACUCGGUAGGUUUUUCUUAAAACUUAGAUGAGUGCGGGACUAUAGCUAAUCCCCCGAGUGGGAGGAUUGCUCUCCACUCGGUAGGAUUUUUUUAAACUUAGAUGAGUGCGGGACUGCAGCUAAGCCCCCGAGUGGGAGGAUUGCUCUCCACUCGGUAGGAUUUUUUCAAACUUAGGCGAGUGCGGGACUGCAGCUAAGCCCCCGAGUGGGAGGAUUGCUCUCCACUCAGUAGGAUUUUUUAAACUUAGGCGAAUCGGAUUCGCAGCUAAGCCCCCGAGUGAGAGGCUUGCUCUCCACUCGGUAGGAUUUUUGAAACUUAGGCGAAUCGGAUUCGCAGCUAAGUCAUCCACUGGGGGAUUUCGGACACAUGUAAAAGUAAUAAAAAUCAUCUAGGAGACUGUAAAACCACGUUGUCGGUGUCAAAACCGGCGGAUCUCGGGUAGGGGGUCCCGAACUGUGCGUCUAAGGCGGAUGGUAAUAGGAGGCAGGGGACAUGAUGUUUACCCAGGUUCGGGCCCUCUUGAUGGAGGUAAUACCCUACGUCCUGCUUGAUUGUUCUUGAUGAUAUGAGUAUUACAAGAGUUGAUGUACCAUGAGAUCGUAGAGGCUAAACCCUAGAAGCUAGCCUAUGGUAUGAUUGUAUGUUGUCCUACGGACUAAACCCUCCGGUUUAUAUAGACAUCGGAGGGGGCUAGGGUUACACAGAGUCGGUUACAAGGGAGGAGAUCUACAUAUCCGUAUUGCCUAGCUUACCUUCCAUGCCAAGGAGAGUCCCAUCCGGACACGGGACGAAGUCUUCAAUCUUGUAUCUUCAUAGUCCAAUAGUCCGGCCAAAGGAUAUAGUCCGGCUGUCCGGAGACCCCCUAAUCCAGGACUCCCUCAGUAGCCCCUGAACCAGGAUUCAAUGACGAUGAGUCCGGCGCGCAGUAUUGUCUUCGGCAUUGCAAGGCGGGUUCCUCCUCCGAAUACUCCAUGGAAGAUUUUGAACACAAGGAUAGUGUCCGGUUCUGCAAAACAAGUUCCACAUACCACCGUAGAGAGAAUAAUAUUUCCACAAAUCUAAUCUGCUGACACGUUUUGACUACAUGACAUCACGCCAUGGCCCGGUCAUUAUUCGAACCGUUUUUCUCAAAUAGCACCGCACAUAUCGCGAGGCGGUUUUCUUGACAUGUCUUGUCAAAGCAGAGACCGUGUUCCCCUCAUUAUGGGAUUCUCAUUAAUACGGACAUGGGUAACCCAACUGCGCCACCAAUUACGGCGCUUGGGGAAUAAGCGAUUUUACCAGGAAAGUGGGGAGGCGCAUCGCCUCCUCCGCCCUUAUAAAGGGACGAAGAUUCACUCUUUUCACCCACGCCUUCUUCCUCCUUGCUUACCCAUUCCCGCACACUCGAGCUCUAGCGCCCAAGCUCGCGUUCUUCUUCUCAAACCACUCCAAGCAUGCCCGGAGCAGGAGGCAAAGUGGAUGGUCUCCUCCGUCAUGGAGGAGAACAUCAAAAAGUUAUGGGAAGCCGGAUAUGUAGCCACGGAUAUCGCGCACCGACUGCCAGAUGCGGGGCAGAUCAUCCCAACGCCCGAACCCCAUGAUAGGGUAGUUUUUCUUACCCACUUUGUCCGUGGACUGGGAUUUCCCCUCCACCCGUUUGUCCGCGGGCUCAUGUUCUACUACGGGCUGGAUUUUCAUGAUCUGGCCCCCAAUUUCAUCCUCAACAUCUCGGGGUUUAUCGUCGUGUGCGAGGCCUUCCUCCGCAUCAAGCCCCAUUUCAGCCUGUGGCUGAGGACCUUCAAUGUCAAACCGAAGGUAGUGGUCGGACAGCAAGCGGAGUGCGGAGGCGCCAUGGUGGCAAGAUGCCUAAUGUCACUUGGCUUGAAGCCUCCUAUGUGGAGACCAUAAAGGGGUGGCAAUCGGGGUGGUUCUACAUCACCGAACGGCGCGACACCAACUGGGUGGCGGCCACCGAAUUCCGAUCCGGAAUCCCCACACGGCUCACCUCCUGGAAAGAGAAGGGCCUGUCUUGGGGUUCCUCGGUAGAGCUAAACGGACUCUAGACCUGCAUCAAGAACAUGAUGAGCAAGAAAAUUAAGCUCGUCAACGUGGUCCAGGUCAUGCUCUUCCGUCGGAUUCUCCCGUGUCAACAACGGGUAUUCAACUUGUGGGAGUUCGACCCGGCCAAGCACCAGACGCUACGAGAGCUCUAUGGCAUGACGCACGAGGAUGUCUGAAGGGUGUUGUUUAAGGGCGCCGAGGUACCUCUUUCCCUCACUGAGGACCGCAGACUCAGCGCAAAGCGCCGCGCCAAUCCGGUGAGUUUUUAUAUUUCACAGGGUAUCUAUUUGCCCCAGUUUAAUCAUGUGCAUGAUCUAAGCCUUCCAUGCCUUUAACAGGACUGGGUGAAGACAGCGGAGCAGAUCGAUUGCCCCGCCCCCCUGUCGGAAGAUCCUGCAGAUGCUCUCCUGACGGAGAUGCUGGUUCCAGCACCUUACGAGGUGCCGGUGAAGAAGGCCAAGAAGAAGGCCGCAGGGACCCGAAAGGGUCUCCGGCGCAAGGAUGUAUCGGACUCAUCGUCCGAUAACUCCGACGCGCCCUCCUCCCAUGAAAACGAGAAGGAGGAAGAGGAAAGUUCUCCCCCCCAGCUGGGGGAGACAAUAAAAGGAAGGCCGGCCCAAUCGGGGAGGCCGAAGGGUCCAAGAAGGGCAAGACCCUCCCUCUGGACUGCUCCACGACGGUCGUGUACAACGGCGACGAGUGGCUACCCAGGGUCAAGCCCGUGGAGAAGUUGUAAGUAUCUGGACACCAUAGUAAUUCGUGGUAUGUUUUACUGCACUGCUUCUUCUCAUGCCGAAUAUGAUUAUGCAGUCCGUCCCGAGCUCAUCUCGAUGUAACUUCAUCGAGCGGUUCGCUGGACUCGUCGGAUAUGAACAACGGUUCUCUUCCGACCGCCUCAACUCCUUGCCCUGCGGACAACAUGGAGGUGUUGUCUCAACAGGCCGGUCCAAGGGGAGGCAGUCUUGGGGGUGCCUCGAGGCGACCUUCCGGACCCUGGGCGCAAAGGGAUCCGGACUCCCAUGGGCUCCAGGUUCGGCCCCCAGCCGAACACUGCACCGGAAUGUUUGGUGGUUCCGGACUGUGGCGGGCGACCCCCCGUUAAGGGGGCAAGCCGCCUGUGCCGGUGUCCUCUGUCUAUCCAGAGGCACCGGACAGCUUGCUGGAAGCGCUUCGCGGCACUUCCAUCGACGAAGAGCACCGUACUAUCAUGAGUGCGGUGAUCGAGAAAGUUCAGUCCGCCAAAAACGGACUGACUAAAGCUUGCGCCAGCCUCCUAACAGGCUUUGAGGUAAGCAAUCAAAAUAUAAGAAAAUAUUACCGCAUAGAUAGUAGCCCCUGAUGCUCUGUUCGGCGUUCGAGUAGAAAGGCCGAAUAGAGGAUCAAAUGAUGACUCAGGAGUCUAAUCAGAAUAUAUCUAUGUGUAUGUGCAGGCUUCACUACUGGCCAAUGCUCCACGUACUGCGGAGGUCUCUGCGCUAAAGCAGGACUUGGAGCGGUCCGAGAACGAGCUUGGCCUUACCAAGAGGCAUCUCAAGGAUAUAAAAUAAAAGAAAUUUGGGUGUAAAGUAAUAGGAUCAUCAUGAAUUUUCCAGGGCCACGACCGAAGUGGCAACCCUAAGGAAGGUGCUCUCCGAGGCCAAAGACAAAGCGGCAAGGAGCGCAUUGAACGGGAGAAGCACGAAGCCCGAGUAGGCGAGGUGCAGCAAGAGCUCGAGGCUCUCGCCAAAAAGCAUGAGUCCUUGGAGCUUGACUCUAAGACACGAGAGUCCGAGCUCAUGCAGGUGCUUGAAAGCGUCCAGAGCGCCAAGGCCGAAGCACAUAAGGCUCUCUAGGAGAUUGAUGUGGUGAAGAAGAUAGCAGUGGGUAAGGCAUUCAUUAUGCAAAGCAAGCACGUGAAGGGGACUUUCCUUUUUCUUACCCGAAUUCGGAGCUCUCCAGGAGCGUUUGCAGAUCUUCCCCGCAGUGUACUCCAUGCCGCAGAGUUUACUGAGCUGAGGAGGGGAGCUCGACGGAGAAGUUGUUCUGGUCUCAGUAUACUAGGACCGAACACCCCUGCCCUUGAGCGACCAGCUGAAGCAGUUGGUCGAGCUUCACAAGGCGGCCGAACAAGCCAUGAGGGGCUUUAUAGUCCGGAUGUGGCCUGGUGAGCCCCUGUCCGGCAGCUACUUCAGUCUAGUAAGGUGGCUCGUCGACGCCUACCCAUGGCUUGAAGUCAUAAAGCGGUCCUUUUGCAUCGAGGGUGCGCGCAGGGCUUUUGCCCGGGCAAAGGUGCACUGGGUGAAGCUGGACGCCGUGAAGCUAGUGAAGGAGGGGCCGCCGGAGGGCAAGGAGCAUCGCUGCCCCGAGAUGUACUAUGAGAGUGUCCUGAAGGGUCCCCGCCUUGUGGCGGAUGACUGUGCCAAGGAUGUAAUUUUUGAAUGAACAUGCUCAUGUGAUCCUGUAAUAUGAAACGAGUUCAUUUGCGCCAUGCGACCCUUUUUUAAUUUAAAAUAUUACCUUAUGUGCGUCCGUUUGUAAAAUCUGAGAGUUGGCUAGUCGUCGGCUUCUGCCCCCAUGUAACUAGUACUGGGGUGUUCGGGAUAAACCUGAGCACUCUUUACCCCAAUUUUGGGUCCUUCAAGGGAGGUGUUCAGCGCAACGAACCAGGAAAUCAGACUGUAAUGCUUUAUCACUCUCACUUAGCCAUAGAAGUCUACAAUUUUAAAUUUUGGCGAAGCCCCUGGUAUUCAGAAGGCCGAAUUUGGGGCGCUAUACACGUCUAAGCCGGACAAGGCCGACUCCUCGCUGGAAGCGGAAAAAGUCUUUAAGGACUUGAGACCUCUCGAACAACGACCAGUCUCUCACCUUAUCAUGACAGUCAGUUUUUGGCUUUCUCUACUGAGGUGCUCGUCCGGAAGAAUCGGGACACAAUCGCAGUAGUUCUCCCACCGCUACCUUAGCCGAUAUAGCGGAACGUAAGGUACCAAAGCAUGGGAGCCGGGCAAACCCAACAUUUGACCAAAGACAUGAUUCGGAGCUGAUGCAUAUAAUGCUAUAAGUUCGGGGUGUCGCACUGUCGAAAGUGUUCGGACUUCUUGCGCCGUAUUAUGGGGUAAACGAAAGCCCCUGGCAUACUGACCGUACCCGAACAUGCGGGUGCAGAUUGUCGUAAAUGGACAUAAAGAAAAAAUGGAAUGAAUAAUGCAAUAAUAGACUAAUGCUAUGCAUUGUUAUUAAAUAAUACGUCGAAGUGUACUGGUAUAGGUAGUGCAAUAAGCAGAAAGUAGGACUAUUCAAAAUAUCCUAUCCAAGGGCAAGCUGCGUAUGGAUAGUAGAAAGCGGGUAUUAUUAUUAGAGACCACCUGGGGGUUCCCGUGUACUUCUUAGCUUCUUGCUGCCUUGGUUGUUCCUUCCCGUAAUGUGUCCGGCAAUCAUACUGCCGGAAAGGGCUUCCAAAGAGUUAGGCCUUGAAAUAGAAAAGAAGUAAUAAAGGUAUACAGCCCCUAGUGCGGUUAAGCCGCAUUGUGGGACGUGCCUUGAUCGUGCCCCUACCUAUGUCCAUGGUAUUUUUAGUGCGUAAUCAUGUAUGUGCGGCACGGAUUUCGUCGCUUGACUGGUACUGGGACAGGGGCCGAAUUGCUAGGUGAGCUCUGAACGUGCCAGGCGAUCCUGUUGCAGUUUACUCCGGACACGCUUGAAGGUGUUUGGGGGUUGUAUCGCCCAAUUAGUGGUUUUCCUUAAAAGUCUGCUUUGUGCUUCUGCUGCAAGGGCCGUAGUGUGCUCUUCCGUGCGGAGUGAGCGUUCUGUUUUUCCAUUCACUGUUAUGACCCCCCCGAGGUCCUGGCAUCUUGAGCUUGAGGUAUGCGUAAUGCGGUACUGCAUUGAAUUUUGCAAAUGCAGUUCGUCCGAGCAGUGCAUGAUAGCCACUGCGAAACGGGACAAUGUCGAAGAUUGACUCCUCGCUUCGGAAGUUUUCCGGUGAUCCGAAGACUACUUCCAGUGUGAUUGAGCCCGUGCAAUGGGCCUCUACACCUGGGAUGACACCCUUAAAGGUGGUUUUGGUGGGUUUGAUCCUCAAGGGAUCGAUACCCUUUUUCGCAUUGUAUCCUGAUAGAGCAGGUUCAGGCUGCUGCCGCCGUCCAUAAGGACUCGAGUGAGAUGAAAUCUGUCGAUGAUGUGGUCUAGGACCAGUGCAGUGGAUCCGCCAUGACGGAUGCUAGUGGGGUGAUCCCUGCGAUCAAAGGUGAUCGGGCAAGAGGACCAUGGGUUGAACUUUGGGGCGACGGGCUCCAUCGCAUAGACGUCCCUUAGUGGACGCUUCUGCUCCCUCUUGGGAAUGUGGGUUGCGUAUAUCAUGUUCACCAUCUUCACUUGUGGGGGGAACCCUUUCUGUCCUCCCGUGUUCGGUGGCCGGGGCUCUUCCUCGUCAUCACUAUGCAGCCCCUUGUCCUUGUUUUCGACAUUUAACUUGCCGGCCUGCUUGAACACCCAGCAUUCUCUGUUGGUGUGAUUGGCUGGCUUGUCGGGGGUGCCGUGGAUUUGACACGAGCGAUCCAGUAUGAGAUCCAAACUGGAUGGAGCCAGAGUACUUCUUUUAAAUGGCUUUUUCCGCUGACCAAACCUAGAGCCUAUGAAUCCGGCAUUGACUGCCGUAUCCUCAGUGUUAUCGCCGUUAUUGCAACGCUUUGGUUUGUUACAAUGUUGUUUGUCGUUGGCAUCUUUGGUAUCCGAAGUGCCCGGAUUCCUCGAUGUGUUAUUACUGCGAGCCAGCCAGCUAUCCUCGCCCACGCAGAAGCGUGUCAUGAGUGUCGUGAGGGCUGCCAUAGACUUCGGCUUCUCUUAGCCAAGGUGCCGGGUAAGCCACUCGUCGUAGAUGUUAUGCUUGAAUGCCGCUAAGGCCUCUGCAUCCGGACAGUCGACAAUUUGGUUUUUCUUAGUCAAGAAUCGUGUCCAGAAUUGUCUGGCUGAUUCCCCUGGCUGCCGAGUUAUAUGGCUGAAGUCAUCAGCAUCCGGUGGUCGCACAUAAGUGCCCUGGAUGUUGUCAAGGAAUGCGUCUUCCAGAUCCUCCCAACUAUCGACGGAGUCUGCUGGCAAGCUAUUUAGCCAAUGCUGAGCUGGUCCUUUGAGUUUUAGUGGGAGGUAUUUGAUGGCAUGUAGAUCGACACCGCGAGCCAUGUGGAUGUGAAGGAGGAAAUCCUCAAUCCAUACAGCGGGGUCUGUUGUACCAUCAUAUGAUUCGAUAUUUAUGGGUUUGAAACCCUCCGGGAAUUCAUGAUCCAUAACUUCAUGAGUGAAGCAUAGGGGGUGUGCGGCGCCUCUGUGCCAGGCUAUAUCCCGACGCAAUUCAUGUGAGUCUUGUCUACUGUAUUCGGCCCGGCCGGAUUUGCUUUUGGUGUAUCCGACAUGACGAUCAUCGUCCCGUGUUGGUGCGCGUGCCCGUGACCCGUAUAUUGACCUUGCAAUUUUUUCCUUACUGUCCAAUACGUAUCGCAGGUCCCCUGUGUUGCCCCGGGCCUUAGUAUUUUUGAUUGAGUGGCGGCAGGGUGCAGGCUGAACUUCAGGCUGAAACGCCUCUCUGGCUCGACCACAUAGUGGCCGGUUAGCCGCAUCGUACACUGGUGAAUGAGGUUUCAAUGCUUCCUCCUCGAGGUGAGGUAGCAACCUGCGUUUUGGGUAACUCUUGGAGGGGCGCUCGAGUUCAUACUCCUCAGCCGCAAGGACUUCGGUCCAUCUGUUUGCUAGCAAGUCUUGAUCGGCUUGAAGCUGUUGCUGCUUUUUCUUCAGGCUAUUUGCCGUGGCCAUAAGCCGGCGGGCGCUUGAAGCGCUCUUGCUCGACGGGGUCCUCAGGCACGAUAAAUUCUUUGUCGCCGAGGCUCGCCUCGUCUUCGGAGAGAGGCAUGUAAUUGUCCUCCUCCGGUUCUCCAUCUGCUACCUGCUCUAUGUAGGAGAUAUGCCCUAGAGGCAAUAAUAAAUGAUAUUAUUUAUCUCCGAGUUCAUAAUUAUGUUUAUGUUCUAUACUAUAAAUGCUAUGGUUCUCGAGUCUGCAAUAACCACGAGGCUCGGAGGAAGACUCAUAUGCACGUGUGGAAUAAUAAACGGUAAAAUGUAUUCCUAGUCUGGCCUCUAAGACUAGCUCAAGUGUUGCAUGAUGGUUCUGUUUUCCUGAUCAUGGGCAUGUCUAUGCCAGCAACCUUGAGGGCACAAUGUUAAGAGAACAUUUGUGUUGAAUUGACCCGGAUUGAUGUUAUGCUAAGAGAUUCAUUCGUCACAAGUUAAUGGUACAUAACACAGAGAUGGUUAACGUUUGCAUGAUUCCUUAGACCAUGAGAGUAUCGAGUUUCUUCAUGCUUGCUUCAUGAACUUUGGGGUUUGUUAAACGUCAUCCGUAAAUGGGUGGCUAUUACGGCGGCUUACGGGUUCAUGGAAAAGUGUGUCAAGUAACUUGAUAGCUCAAGAUUGGGAUUUGCUCCUCGAUGGAGAGAUAUUCUCGGGCCCUCUCGGUAUUACGGUAUCCAUCAUCGUCUGGCUAGACACAGUGUGAUUUGAUCACUAGGAUGCCGGAACACGGAAACUAGAAAAGAGAACAAAACCGGUAACGAGGUAACUUGCAUGGUGGACAAAUUGUUUGUCCAUGGGGAUGCAAUAAAUCUCACCUUGGGUGUUUGUGACAUAUUGCGAAGCAACAGGAAUAGCUCACUACAACUGGAGGUUCACUCGAAUAUUUAUUCGUGUGGGUAUAGGGGUCAAUAUGGGUGUCCACGGCUCCGAUGUUGAUCAUUGAUCGGAAGGGGUUCUGGGUCAUGUCUAUACUUCACCGAACCUAUAGGGUCACACGCUUAAGGGUCAUCUAUCUGCUGAAUACUAGACAAGGAGUCUGAGAGAAAAUCACCGGAAAAGUUUCGGACAGCGGAAAAGGUUCCGCACAGAGAGGUCAUCGGAUGAGUUUCGAUGAAACUGAAAAGUUGUUUCAGGGGAUACCAUUAAGUCAAAUUGGUUUCCGCACAUGCCUGAUAAUUCUUGGAGGGUGCCAGAAUCAUUCUGGAAGAUUUCUGGAAUUUUCCGGGAUAAUAACCGGAUAUGCUCCGGAGCUGCCGCAACCACUUCAGAUGCUUUUCGUAGAUGAAAAUCACUAAACCGGAAUUGUUUCGGAACGCUUUGAAAAUCAUUUUGGUGGGUACUGGAAAUUUUCUAAGCUCACAUAAAUAUUUUCAGUUCGAACGGACGCUGAAAAAUGUCAUCGCGAAUAGUGAAAGUACUUUUUGGGAUAUUUAUAGAAAGCCACCUUUUGGGGCUUUUCCCAAAAGGCUUCUAGAAGGACUUCGGGAUCAAGGAACCCCCUUUGGGGGGCCCCCAUGAAGGUGGGACGUUGGAGGGUGCAGCUCCUCCAUGGGGCUCCACUUGUCAUCCCUUUAUGCCUUUUAUACCCUUUGUGUGUGACAUAAAGUGGGGGCACUUUUGGUAUUUCAGAAUACCCAUCCUACCCCUUGGUUUCCCUAUAAAUAGGAGGUGAGGGGGCUGCCCAAACCUCAUCCCUUAUCACAUACAAGUGCCAUGCAAUGAUCUGGCUUCUUCUCUCCCUCCCACGAAAAGAGUUUCGUAGAGCCGUAAGGUUGUCUGGGUUCCGGCAGGAACUAGUUCUAGACGGCGAAGCCCUGCCGGAUAGAUGACACCGUAUGUGUGCAACUCUGUAGAGAGAUCGUAGUUUCAGUCUUAGUUCGUGAGUGCCUCCUGAAGGGCUGUCCGUGUGACCGUCCGAGUUUUGAAGGUCCUCCCGAAGGGCUGUCCGAGUGACCGUCCGAGUUUCGAAGGUCCUCCCGAAGGGCUGUCCGCGACACUGUCUGGGGGGCUAUUCGACCGCCUCCCGGAGGGCUGUCUGAGGAGCAGAUGAGGGUAUACAUCCUCGCGGUAGGGAGGUUGUAAAUCCUAGCUGCGGGGAUGUGCACCGCCGAUCGUCAUCGACUCUACUUCCCGCUGCGCUACGAGUCGGUAACGAAGGAGAUCAAACCAUGUAUGCAGUCUCCAUAGUGGUCCUGGGCUGGUGCGUAGGUCGGAAAUUUUUGUUUUCUGCCACGUUCCCCUACAGUGGCAUCAUGAGCCGUGCUAUGCGUAGAUGCAGGUUUCGAUCUAGAAUACAUGGAGAUGUAUGGGCAUUGCAUAAUAUAAUUAGGUAGUAGAUGAGAUCUAUUGUUGAAAAUUAUUUAUAAUGGUGACAGAUGAAAUCUGUUACCCGACGUUCUUGUUGCUUCCCUAGAAUUUGCGUUUGCUCAAUCUCGAGACAACAUGGUGGAAUUUGACAAAGUUCUGGCAAUCUGUGAUCCUUAUUGAUCAUGGAAGUGCUAUCAGUUCUUUGGGUUCUGCCGUAGUCAAAAGAAAGAUGAAAUUUGCAGAUGUAAGGGCAUUGCAGAUAUGAUCUGCACGGGGGUCAUGCGUAUGACGAAGUUUAGUAUGGGGCUCGAGAUUUAAUUAUCUCGUGUUUCAUACACCCCAAGAUGUUAAUCUAGCAACUUGAAUAAUCAUACUUGAUGAUAAAACAUUGGUAGCUGCGGUUUAAGUCAAAACCUUAGAAGCCACGUAAAAUAAAAUUUUGCAUAAACCGAUUAGAGGCGUCUAACUUGGUUUUGCAGGAUGUGCAUGUGAUGUGGUAUAGCAAUGCUCAUAUUCAAUUUGAUUAUGUAUGAGAUGACUAUAUGAUGUAAUUAACAUGACCUGCGUGUCAUGAUUCGGCAUGCUGGCUGGAGCCAUAUGAUUGUCACUUUAAUGACCUGCGUGUCAACCUUAAGUAAUGCACUUAUUUUAUUAGCUAUAUAGAUAGCAAUAUUAUCUGGUGCAUCAACAGGGUGGUGGCAAUCUUCAUGAAGGUGAACACCGAUGCGAAUGCCGAAGAGGAAGAAAUGAAAUACUUCUCCAUCAGAAAGGGCUAUACCAUAUCAUGCUAUUAUGAAUUGCCUGAGAUGUUUAUCCCUUAUGAUGCACCCUUCUUGAUUGCGCGGUAGUCGCUUUUUUAGGGUGAUCUCUCACUUAAAAUAUCAAAGUAGUUAGUGUUCACCCAAGUGUAGAACCAUCUGAAAUUCGUAUCUUUUCGGGGUGCGCCAUGUACACAUGAGCAUGAACGAAUCGAGAGGAAUGAGGCGGGUGAGGUCAGACCUCGCAGCAAGAUCACUUGGUUGUCUUUGACGUUCAGGCAGGAGAGUCCUGAGCUCGGAACACGGCCAUUGAAAGAUGUACAAGAAUCACAUAGAGAUGUGUUCGGCAAGUUGGCCUAUCGAUUGAAAUUCGUGUCAUCAGUGAUGAACCCGUCAAUGGCAUCGAAUAGAAAUAUGGAUCUUGAAUCACUCUAAAUCAAUUAUGAGAGAUAUUGAUUUGAGUGGGGGCGCACUAUUGAAUUAACAUGUUUAAUUCUCAGUGCAAUUAAUUAUGAACACUGUCUAAGUGUUUCUUUCAAAAUAGUUGUAGAAUAAUGGCUCGCAUUUCCACCUUCCGUGUUAAAAUUGAAUAGCUGUUAAAUAUCUGGUUAAAACUUUAUGUUUGGUAACGUAAUGUGAGGAUUGUCCUCAAAAGUGUCGAGAAGGAUUUUGUCCUAUCGCAUGCUUUCCAUAUCCUCCCGCUAAUGCUAUGGAUCAUGUGACUCUCGUCCUUCGAUCCAAAAGCUAGAAUUGUGUUACGGUCAAGUGGAAUAUGUUUGCUUCCAUGAAACCCAAACUUCGAAAGUUGGGAUAGUUAUAUGAUAUUCAUGGAACUAAAAAUUAUUUUUAGAUACAAACAAAGCAAUGUUUGUUUGCAAGUAUUAGUAAAAGUGUUUACUAUGCAUUUGACUGUUGGGAAAGGGAUCCAGAAGAACGCCUGUCAUAUAAAGAAAGGUGAAUAAAACAACAACUUAAAGAGAAAGGAUGUGUCCAAAGGGUGUUAGUAUGACUUACACGCCUAGGAAGUCCGGGGCUAACGCCACUCUUAAGUUGGGUGCUUCUUUUGCGAGUAGGAGAAAUACUAAAAGUUAAACAGUUAGAAGUAUAAAGGCAAAAGAGAGAUGACUGGAAUAUCCAGCUCAUGUAUGAAUGUCAUACAAGUUUUUGAUGUAUAGUAGGCUGGUCAAAGAUAUAGUUCUUGGGAAUUAUGGUUAAACAUGUUAAUCACUAAUUCUUGGGUAUUGUGAUUUAAUCACAAAGAUACCCACUUGAUUGCAUUCUGUUGCGAAUCAAUGUAAGACCUACUAUGGCCCAAAGACUAGCCAGAAAUGAGGUUAAUGUAUACACAGGGAACAUAGUAAAUGUUACUAUACCUUCCAUCAGUGUAUUGUUGUCUGUAUUUAUUUUCAUAAUUCAUUUAGAGUUUUGCAAACUCUAGCCCAUUGCAUAAGGUAUCUUGCAAGAAGGUUGUUCAUAAGAGAACCUUUUAUGUUCGAUGUUAUGAAUAACACAAGGGACAUACUUUCAUUAUGAAUGAGAUGUAUGUUAUGAAUAUUGAUAAUAAUACAAUACCUCUGGGUUUACUUUCAUAAUUCAUUUUAGAGUUUCUUACACUCAAGCCCAUUGCAUAAUGUUUAUUGCAAAAGAGUUGUUCAUAAAAACAACAAUUGUUGUUAAGUAUUAUGAAUAACAUGAAGGGCCAUGCUUCCAUCCAAGAUGGGAUGUAUGUUAUGAAUAUUGAUGGUAAUAUGAUACAUCCAUAACACUGACGCUAAAUGUCGCAAGACUAAAAGAAUACCACACAAGUGUGGCACUACAUUUGGUCACAUUGGAGAAACCCGCAUGGAAAAUUCCAUUAUGAUGGAUUUUGAAGUCUUUUUGAUUUUGAAUCAUCUGACACUUGCAACUUUCCUCCGAAAAGUGAAGUGACUGAAAUACCGUUCACAGGCCAUAAGGAAUGAGCAACAAACUUAUUGGUGAUCAUACAUUUUGAUGUGUGUAGUUCAAUAAAUGUUGUUGCAAGUAGUGGAUUUAUAUAUCUUCAGACAUUACUCAAGUAGAUAUAUGGAUAUUUGCUUGAUGAGACGUAAGUCUGGAUCUUUUGAAAUCAUUCGAAAGGUUUUCAAAAAUGAAGUAGAAGUUAUUGUAACAAGGAAAUUAUGUUUCUACAAUUUGAUUGCAGAAAGGAAUAUCUGAGUUACAAGUUUAGCGAAUGUCUGAUGAGUUGUGAAAAGAGUUUCAUAACUUACACCUUCCAGAACACCACCAUGAGUGGAAUGUCUGUGAAGAUGUAAUCAAACCAUUUAUGACAUGGUAAGGUCAAAGAUGACAUAAAUAAAUUUGCCAUUAUCCCUUUUAAAGUGAUGCUUUAGAGACUGCGGCUUUUACACUGAAAAGAGCUACAUCGGGUCUGUUGAAAUGAAGCCAUGGUAUGGUACGCCCCACCAUGUUAUAUCUUUUCUUAACAUUUGGAAUGUGGGCUUGUGUAAAAGGUUACAAAGCUAUUCUAAAUCAGAAAAGUGCUACUUUGUAGGUUAUACCAAAAUGUUGGGUAUUCCUCCCUCACUAUACCGAGGCAAAUAGUUUUGCCGCGAAACGGUGUACUUUUAAAGAGAAUGGUUCUUUCAAAAAGGUGAGUGGGAGAAUAGUGCAACUCGACGAGAUAAACAGUAUCUUCAUCAUCAGAUCAAAGGAAAGAGACAUUGGAAGUAAUUCCAUAGUUUCCUACUGCGACUGAUACGGAAGUCUCUACAAUAAAAUGUAUGAACUUCGGUCGAACUUGCAGCUGAACCACGUAGGCAAGGCUCGUGCAAACCUCUCAGGUGCGCAAAUGAGAUAUUGUUGUUAGACAACAUUAUACCUACGAUACACAAGGAAGCGUUGAUGGGCCCUGACUCCGGAAUUGGCUAAAUGCCAAUACAACCCAAGUUAGUUUCCAUAUAAGUGAUUCAAGAUUAAAACCUUGAUACACCUUUUGGAAGACUUAGAGUCUAACGAAUAUUGAUGGAACUUAAAACUGAUAUGGAUAAAAAUGUUUUAUCCAUAAAGCUCGACUUGUUGAAAUAACAAGUUCAAGAGUUGACUACGAUGAGGUUGUUUUCAUCGUAGCGAUGCUUAAAGUUGGUUCGGGUUGAACUAGCAAUUAAUACAUAUUUCAAUCAUGAGAUCUGAAACAUGGAUGACAAUAGGAUUUCCAUCUGAUGGAAAUGCAACCAAGGACUUGCAUGUGUUACAGUCCAAGGAAUUUUGUCUAUCCAGAGGAUGCUAGUAAGGGUGCAAACUUCAGAGUUCCAGCGAUGGACAGAAGAGAGCAAAAUGGAGUUGGAAUCUUCAUGCUUUGAUGAAAUGGUCAAAGGGGUUUGACUUCAUCAAUGGGUAACGAAGAUGCUUGUAAUUCAAGAAAGUAAGUGGGAGCGUAAUAAUUUUUCUAAAAACCUUGUGUGCUUGACACAUUGUUAAUUGGAAAUAAAUUUCUUGACAGGAAUUAGGACUUCAUUUGAAAAUAGUUUUUUGAUGAAGUGCUUAGGCUAAAUAGCCUCAAUAUUAGGCAUAAUGAUCUAUGGAGAUAGAUUUACCUAAUAGGGCUAAGCAAUGAAUACAUAUUGACAAGGUGCUAAAACCUUUUAGCAUUUAAAACCGCCAAGGAGUGAUUCUUGCCGGAGUCACAUGGAAGAGUUUUUUGCAAGACUCGGUGUCCCAAAACACUAAUGAGCAAAAUACAUGAUGCCAAUUCCACACACUUUUGUGUUUGGAUUAAUCAUGUAUUCCAUGGUAUGUAAAACAACCAGAUAUGUCUGAUACUCCCAAGGUGUUGCGAGUAUGGAUACUAAAGUGAUCAAAGUACUGAUCGUUGGACAAUAGUGAAAGAUGUCAUUGAGUACUAGAGUAAGUACUGAUGAUAUGUUUUCUCGCAAGCGGAGAUCAUGAAGAGUUUGUUGUAAAAUGUUACAUCGAAACAGUCUUCAUCUUUUCUCCAUGCGAUUUUCGAUUUAAAUUGAGGGUUUUGUGUAACACAAUAUGGUGGUGCAGUUAGUUGGAAAUUGUUCCAAACAAGUUACUGUGGCGAAUUCUAUAACAGAGGCGGAGUAUGUUGCCGCUUUAGAAGCGACAAAGACAAAGAUGUUGAAUCAUAUAGUUCAUUCAUGAACUUAGUAUGGUUCCAAGAAGGCUUUGGUCAAUGGGACACUAUUGCAGAUAGUUGCUCCAUAACUCAGUCUGAGGAAUCAGGUUUCGACCAAUGAUUCACAUAUAUACAAAGCCAAGUCCGCACAAAAUAUGAAUUUUGUGAAAGCGUGAAAACGCGAGGAUAUGCAGAGAUACACAUGGAGCUGAAGUUGUCAGAUCCGAUGGACAUCAGGCUAUACCACAUGCGAAGCAUUUUUUACACCGGUAUGCCAUAGGUGUAAAGUGCAUUUGCAUUAACUAGAUUAUUGACUCUAGUGCAAGUGGGAGUCUAUAGGAGAUAUGCCCUAGAGGCAAUAAUAAAUGAUAUUAUUUAUCUCCGAGUUCAUAAUUAUGUUUAUGUUCUAUGCUAUAACUGCUAUGGUUCUCGAGUCUGCAAUAACCACGAGGCUCGGAGGAAGACUCAUAUGCACAUGUGGAAUAAUAAACGGUAAAAUGUAUUCCUAGUUUGGCCUCUAAGACUAGCUCAAGUGUUGCAUGAUGGUUCUGUUUUCCUGAUCAUGGGCAUGUCUAUGCCAACAACCUUGAGGGCACAAUGUUAAGAGAACAUUUGUGUUGAAUCGACCCGGAUUGAUGUUAUGCUAAGAGAUUCAUUCGUCACAAGUUAAUGGUACAUAACACAGAGAUGGUUAACGUUUGCAUGAUUCCUUAGACCAUGAGAGUAUCGAGUUUCUUCAUGCUUGCUUCAUGAACUUUGGGGUUUGUUAAACGUCAUCCGUAAAUGGGUGGCUAUUACGGCGGCUUACGGGUUCAUGGAAAAGUGUGUCAAGUAACUUGAUAGCUCAAGAUUGGGAUUUGCUCCUCCGAUGAUGGAGAGAUAUUCUCGGGACCUCUCGGUAUUACAGUAUCCAUCAUCGUCUGGCCAGACACAGUGUGAUUUGAUCACUGGGAUGCCGGAACACGGAAACGAGAAAAGAGAACAAAACCGGUAACGAGGUAACUUGCAUGGUGGACAAAUUGUUUCUCCAUGGGGAUGCAAUAAAUCUCACCUCGGGUGUUUGUGACAUAUCGUGAAGCAACAGGAAUAGCUCACUGCAACUGGAGGUUCACUCGAAUAUUUAUUCGUGUGGGUAUAGGGGUCAAUAUGGGUGUCCACGGCUCCGAUGUUGAUCAUUGAUUGGAAGGGGUUCCGGGUCAUGUCUAUACUUCACCGAACCUAUAGGGUCACACGCUUAAGGGUCAUCUAUCUGCUGAAUACUAGACAAGGAGUUUGAGAGAAAAUCACUGAAAAAGUUUUGGACACCGGAAAAGUUUCGGACAGCGGAAAAGGUUCCGUAGAGAGAGGUCAUCGGAUGAGUUUCAAUGAAACUGAAAAGUUGUUUCAGGGGAUACCAUUAAGUCAAAUUGGUUUCCGCACAUGCCUGAUAAUUCUUGGAGGGUGCCAAAAUCAUUCUGGAAGCUUUCUGGAAUUUUCCGGGAUAAUAACCGGAUAUGCUCCGGAGCUGCCGGAACCACUUCAGAUGCUUUUCGCAGAUGAAAAUCACUAAACUGGAAUUGUUUCGGAAUGCGUUGAAAAUCAUUUUGGUGGGUACUGGAAAUGUUCUAAGCCCACAUAAAUAUUUUCAGUUCGAACGGACGCUGAAAAAUGUCAUCGUGAAUAGUGAAAGUACUUUUUGGGAUAUUUAUGGAAAGCCACCUUUUGGGGCUUUUCCCAAAAGGCUUCUAGAAGGACAUGGGGAUUAAGGAACCCCCUUUGGGGGUCCCCCAUGAAGGUGGGACGUUGGAGGGUGCAGCUCCUCCAUGGGGCUCCACUUGUCAUCCCUUUAUGCCUUUUAUACCCUUUGUGUGUGACAUAAAGUGGGGGCACUUUUGGUAUUUCAGAAUACCCAUCCUACCCCUUGGUUUCCCUAUAAAUAGGAGGUGAGGGGGCUGCCCAAACCUCAUCCCUUCUCACAUACAAGUUCCAUGCAAUGAUCUGGCUUCUUCUCUCCCUCCCACGAAAAGAGUUUCGUAGAGCCGUAAGGCUGUCUGGGUUCCGGCAGGAACUAGUUCUGGACGGCGAAGCCCUGCCGGAUAGAUGACACCGUAUGUGUGCAACUCUGUAGAGAGAUCGUAGUUUCGGACUUAGUUCAUGAGUGCCUCUCGAAGGGCUGUCCGUGUGACCGUCCGAGUUUUGAAGGUCCUCCCGAAGGGCUUUUCGAGUGACCGUUCGAGUUUCGAAGGCCCUCCCGAAGGGCUGUCUGCGACACCGUCUGGGGGGUUGUUUGACCGCCUCCCGGAGGGCUGUCUGAGGAGCAGAUGAGGGUAUACAUCCUUGCGAUUGGGAGGUUGUAAAUCCUAGCUGCGGGGAUCUGCACCGCCGAUCGUCAUCGACUCUACUUCCCGCUGCACUACGAGUCGGUAAUGAAAAAGAUCAAACCAUGUAUGCAGUCUCCAUAGUGGUCCUGGGCUGGUGCGUAGGUCGGAAAUUCUUGUUUUCUGCCGUGUUCCCCUACACUCUAGAGGGCUGGCUUGUUCAUCCUGCGGCUCUACAUCAUGCUGGAGGGGAUUGAUUGUCUUCGGCAGUAUCUGGAGUGUUAUUAUCUCCUAUGCCGGUAUUACUACUUUUGCUGUGGCGGGACUUAGAGUGGCGCCGCUGACGUCGGUGCUUGGGUUGCUUCUUGGAGGGGUCAUCCUCCGCUGUCUCGUCGCCAUUGCUUUCUUUAGGGGUGUCCACCAUAUAUAUGUCGUAUGAUGAUGUGGCGGUCCAGCGCCCUGUGGGCGGUGGUUCCUGCUCGUCUCCUGCAUCGUCGUCCAUAUUGUCGAUGUCUUCAGAGUCGAAGUCGAUCAUGUCGGUUAAAUCGUCGACAGUGGCUACUAAGUGGGUGGUGGGUGGGCAGCGAAUUUCUUCGUUGUCCGCAUCCCAUUCUAGUCGGACAUAGUUCAGCCAAGGUUCUCCUGAUAGGGAGCGGGACCUCAAUGAAUUUAGCACAUCGCUGAAGGGUGAGCGCUGAAAGAUAUCUGCGGAGGUGAACUCCAUGAUCGGCGCCCAGUCGGAUUCGACGGGCAUGGGUGUAAGCGGCUCGAAGUCUGUGGCCGGAGGUGAAUCCAGUGGUUCGGCGACACGGCUCUCGUAAGGGGUGAAGUCAGUAUCCGACUCCAUCGCCACUGAGAGUGCGGUCUCCAUGGAGGGGUCUAUCCCUCCGCUCUCGGAUGGCACGAUUUGUUCCGGAUUGAUGGCCGGAGUAGUUGCAGAUGCGAUCUCCUGAACACCGUCCGACAGCAGAGUUACGUCGUGCUCGUCGUGACUGUGCAGUGCACCUGACACGGGCUCGAAUCCGUCGAAGAUCAAGUCUCCGCGGACGUUGAUAGUGUAGUUUAAGUUUCCGAAUCUGACCUGAUGGCUAGGGGCGUAGCUCUCGAUCUGCUCUAGAUGGCCAAGCGAAUUGGCCCGCAGUGUGAAGCCGCCGAAUACAAAGAUCUGUCCGGGGAGGAAAACCUCACCCUGGACCGCAUCGCUACCGAUGAUCGAAGGAGCCAUCAAGCCUUAUGGUGACGACAUAGUGGAACUCCCAAUGAAAGCACCGAUGUCGGUGUCAAAACCGGCGGAUCUCGGGUAGGGGGUCCCGAACUGUGCGUCUAAGGCGGAUGGUAACAGGAGGCAGGGGACACGAUGUUUACCCAGGUUUGGGCCCUCUUGAUGGAGGUAAUACCCUAUGUGCUGCUUGAUUGUUCUUGAUGAUAUGAGUACUACAGGAGUUGAUCUACCACGAGAUCGUAGAGGCUAAACCCUAGAAGCUAGCCUAUGGUACGAUUGUAUGUUGUCCUACGGACUAAACCCUCCGGUUUUUAUAGACACCGGAGGGGGCUAGGGUUACACAGAGUCGGUUACAAGGGAGGAGAUCUAUAUAUCCGUAUUGCCUAGCUUGCCUUCCACGCCAAGGAGAGUCCCAUCCGGACACGGGACGAAGUCUUCAAUCUUGUAUCUUCAUAGUACAACAGUCCGGCCAAAGGAUAUAGUCCAGCUGUCCGGAGACCCCCUAAUCGAGGACUCCCUCACAUGUCUUUGAUAAACAAACUGAAAGGUACUUCUUAUUACAUCUCGACAGUCUGAAUGCUUAAGUAUUAAAAUGGUGGAGAAGCUCCGCAUUCCAAGCGCGUGGCUCCUCUUUCUUGUGUUCCACAUCAUACAGGUGAUAUGCUCCGUUGUGGAGCACUUUGGUGAUGAUGAAGGGGCCUUCCCAGGCGGGAGCAAGCUUGUGUGGACGUUGCUGAUCCACUUGGAGAACCAGGUCCCCCUCCUGAAAUGCUCGACCUCUUACGUUCCUAGCAUGGAAUCGACGAAGGUCUUGCUGAUAGAUGGUCGACCUGCUCAGGGCCAUCUCUCUCUCUUCUUCUAAAAGAUCAACGGUGUCUUGACAGGCUUGUUCUGCUUCUGCCUUUGAGAAGAGCUCCACUUGUGGGGCAUUAUGGAGUAGAUCAGUCGGCAGCACGGCCUCGGCUCCAUAAACCAGGAAGAAAGGAGUCCGGCCAGUCGACCGAUUUAGUGUUGUUCUCAGACUCCACAUUACUGAUGGUAACUCAUCUACCCAGGCACCAGCCGCACGCUUGAGGUCUCACAUCAAUCUGGGCUUCAACUCUUGUAAGAUCAAACCAUUUUCUCUUUCUGCUUGCCCGUUCGACUGUGGGUGAGCGACUGAAGCGUAGUCGACCCGGGUGCCCUGGGAAGCGCAGAAAGCUCUGAACUCAUCUGAAUCAAAGUUUGAACCAUUGUCUGUGAUGAUGCUGUGCGGGACUCCAUAUAUGAAUGUUAAUUCUCUGAUGAAGCUGACGACGGUUCUCGAAUCGAGGUUCUUGAUGGGUUUGGCUUCAAUCCAUUUGGUGAACUUGUCGACUGCAACAAGCAGGUGGGUGAAACCACUUCUGCAAUCCUCAAGGGUCCAACCAUAUCCAAUCCCCAAACCGCAAACGGCCAGACGAGUGGAAUGGUAUUCAAUGUGAGGCGGGCUUGUGAGACAUGUUAGAGUAAAACUGGCAGCCCUCACACUUGUCGACUAUUUCCUUCGCCCGUGGCCAGUAAAAAUCUGCUCAGUAUGCUUUGGCCACGAUUGUCUGAGAGGACGCAUGGUGACCACAGGUCCCUGAGUGGAUAUCAUUGAGGAUCAUUCGACCUUCCUCCAGGGUAAUGCACCAUUGAGAAACUAUAGUCACACUCUCCCUGUACAGUCGACCACUUAUCACAGUGAAGGCUUUGGAUCAACGAACAAUCUGUCGUGCUUCAUCUUCGUCUUCUAGAAGCUCUUUCCUGAGAAUAUAUGCGAUGUACGACAUUGUACAAUUAGGAAUGAUAACCAAAACUUCCAUGAUUAAGUCUACCACAGCUAGGAUUUCAACUUCAGUCGGAUCAGUAGAACUCUUAGGUUGCGGGGGCUCUUCUAUAAAGGGAUCCUCUUGAAUUGAUGGUGUGUGAAGAUGCUCCAAGAACACAUUGCUGGGAAUGGGCUCUCCCUUGGAACCUAUCUUUGCCAGGUCAUCCGCUGCCUGAUUCUUCAGUCGGGAAAUGUGGUGGAGCUCUAGCCCUUCAAACUUCUUUUCUAACUUUCUCACUUCAUUACAAUAACCAGUCAUAGCUUGCCUUCUGACAUCCCACUCAUUCAUCACUUAAUUGACCACCAAAUCUGAGUCGCCGUAGACCAUUAGGCCACGGACGCCGAGUGAAAUGGCCAUCCACAACACAUAUAGAAGCGCUUCGUAUUCAGUUUCAUUGUUGGAGGAAUCAAAGUGAAUCUGAAGGACAUAAGUAAGUAUGUCACCUCGCGGGGAUACCAGAACUACUCCAGCGCCAGAACCAUUCAACAUCUUGGAUCCAUCAAAGAACAUAGUCCAAUGUUCCUGGAAUUGAGUUGGUUGCUGUUGUUCAAUCCACUCGAUGAGGAAAUCUGCUAUUACCUGGGACUUGAUUUCUUUCUUUGCCUCAAUCUUGAUAUCCAACGGAAGGAGUUUAAUCGCCCACUUUGCCACUCGACUAGUUGCGUCCCCGUUGUUCAAAAUUUCUGACAAUGGAGCAUCACUGACGACUAUGAUAGAGUGAUUUGAGAAAUAGUGUGCAACCUUCUUUGAAGUCAAGUAAAUUCCAUGGACAAGCUUUUGAUAAUGUGGAUAUCUCUGCUUGGACGGGGUUAAGACUUCCGAAAUAUAGUACACUGGGCGCUAAACCUUAUAGGCUUUACCUCCUUCUUCCCGCUCGACCGUGAGUACUGUACUAACAACUUGUCCACUGGCUGCAAUAUAAAGCAGUAAAGGCUCUUUGUUGAUUGGAGCACCAAGCACCGACUGGGUGGAAAGCAGGGUUUUGAUCUCUGCAAACGCUGCGUCAGCUUCAGGAGUCCACUCGAACUUAUCAGAUUUCUUCAUCAAUGGUAAAGAGGCAAUGCCUUUUCAUCGAGAUAAGAGAUGAAUCGACUCAAGGAGGCCAAACAACCAGUAAGCUUCUGAACGUCGUGUAUGCACAUAGGGCUUUUCAUUUGGAGUAUUGCACCAACUUUCUCUAGGUUUGCAUCGAUCCCAUGUUCGGAAACGAGGAAACCGAGUAACUUUGGCGUACCUCUCUGGGUGCUCUAGGUCCAAGGGUAUCUUCUUCGUCUCUUUGGCCGGCUUAAACGAACCCUCAGCCUCUAACUCUUUUGGGUUGGGCGACACAUCAGGCUGCUUGCCGGCCAUUGCCACAACUCGCUCAAGGAGCCGCUUCUCAGCCGCGAUUACCAGGGACUCGGCCAGCCGACUUCUCUCAGCUGCACAAGCAGACGACUUCCGGUAGUCGCCAGCCACAGUUAGAAUUCCCCUGGAACUGGGAAUCUUCAUCUUGAGGUAGGCGUAGUGGGGGACCUCCAUGAACUUGGCCAAGGCAGGUCAGCCAAACAGCGCAUGGUAUGGGCUCUCGAGAUCCACCACCUCAAACCAAACGGGCUCUCUACGGAAGUGAUCUUUGUCCCCAAAGAGGACGUCCAUCAGGAUCUUGCCGAUUGGCGAGCAGGAAAGCCCAGGAACAAUGCCGUGGAACACAGUUCGGCUGUUCUAAAGUUGUCUUUGCUUGAUUCCUAACUUCUCCAUGGUGUCCUUGUACAGGAUAUUGAUGCUACUGCCCCCGUCUAUCAGAACUCGCGAGAAACGCGCGGCUUGUCUGUCCGUAGCAAAGGUGGCAUCCAAGACCAAGGCAUAAGAGCCUGGACUCGGCAUCACUUUUGGGUGGUCAGCCCUGCUCCAGCUGAUGGGCUUCUCAGACCAGUGCAUGAACUCUGGCGUCUCUGACGCUACUGCAUUCACCUCUUGUCGCUGCAGCCGCCUGCUGCGUCGAUCAUCAGCCACACUAGUGAACACCACAUAGGCUCCAUGCUCUUCAGGGUAUUCGUCUUGUACUGCGCCGACUGGCUUGACAGCCGGCUGCUGGGGCGGAGGCGGCUGCCCAGCAGGCGGGGGAGGCAGGAGGCCGUCUCCCUUGGCGAUCCUGGUGAGCCAGUGGCACUUCCGGGUGGUGUGAUUCGAUGGCUUUGCACCGCUGUGGAACUUGCAAGGUCCAUCCAAGGUCUGCUGAUAGGACAAGGCAGGCAACCAGUUUGGCUUGCUGCCUUUCUUUCGCUUGGGCGGGGGCUGCUCAUCUGGCUGCUGGGCUUCAACGGUCGUGACCUGCCGGCUGCUGGAAGCCGGCUACUGGGCCAUGCGCUUGUUGUCGCCCUGCUGUUGUCGCCGGCCGGCGUCUGCUGCCGGAGUUCUUGGAGCUUGAGGAGCCACUUUGCCAGUUGUGCUGAUUUGAAUUUCCGCCUUCAUGGAGGAGUCGGCCAUGGCGUAUUUGUCCGCUAUGAUCAGCAGCUCGUCGAGGGUUCUGACUCGUCACAAAGGAGCUUGUGCUUGAGGAGGGUGCCUUCUCUGCACCCGGCUGUGAAGUACUCGAUGGCCUGCACCUCGUGCACGCCCUCGCAGGAGUUCUGGAGCUCGGCCCAACGCGUGAGGUAAUCGCGAGUCGACUCGUCGGGGCCUUGCACGUACAAGGAGAGCUGACGAAGCUUGGGAGGACGCUUGUACGUGCUGGUGAAGUUGCGGACGAAUGCUUCGGUGAAGUCGACCCAGCUGUUGAUGUUGCGGGGCUUCAGGCUGUUCAGCCAUGUCCGGGCCGUGCCCUGGAGCAUGAGCGGAACGUACUUUACGGCGACACGCUUGUUGCCAUUUGCUAUGUUGACAGCCGUGGAGUAGUCGACUAGCCAGUCUUCUGGCUUCACGGAGCCGGUAUACUUGGGCGUGUCUCUUGGGAGCAUGAACCCUCUGGGAAAGGGUUCGUCCUGAAUGCGGGGCCCGAAACAAGGCGGACCCAGCUCGUCUUCUUCUUCUAGCGCUAAAGAUCGGUGGAGUCGGUCGAUCCGGUGGCGGGCGUCAUUCUCUCCAGCUCCCUCUCGGCGGCCAAGACGGUCACCGAGAGUCGGAUGGUCAACAGGCGGCGGGGAGACUCGCCUCUCCUUGCGGGGAGGGGGAGGCGGACAGUCGUCCCGUCGUUCCACUGCUCUUGGGCGGCCGUCUCGGUCGCGCUCUAUGGUAAUGCGAGUCCGACCGUGGCUGACAGUCGGCUCCUUGUAUCUUCUACCUCGGGCGCCGCCAGUCGGCGUCCGAGACGUCGCGCCUUGAUCUCGGUGAAGGUCGUCGACGGGCCAUUGAGGCGCCUCCGUGCGGCAGCCGGCCUCGUUCUGCGCGGCAGCCGCAUCGAGAAGCCGCUGGACUCGUUCGUUCAUGAGGCGGCGUUCUUCGCCCUCCAAAUUGUCCAGCUCGUCCACCGCUGCCUGGGCGGCUCGGAUGUUCUCUGCUGGUGUAGCGUACACAGGGCGGCUUGCCCCAAACAGGUUGGCGAUGGCUACGCCGCGCUACCGGACCAUGCCAAGGCGGCUGGGCCCCGCCGGGGCCGGCGAGCCGCCGACGGCGCGAUCCAUCUCCCGCUGGUAGGCUUCUGACAAGCGCCUCAUGUUGGCCAGCUUCUUCGCGCCUACAACGAGCUGAAGGCGGCUCGCCUCCAGCGUCUCUGCGUCAGCGUCUUUCGGAAUGGGCGCAGUUAGGUCUUGCAGCGCCGCGCCGAGCGAGUCGUGCGCUCCUCCACCGGGGAGCUCGUCAUGACUGGUGACUAGCACCUCGGUGACGGUGCUUCCAUUGCUCUCUGCGUGGGGGAGAGGUUCGUCAUAGACCACCACAUUGGUGGGGAACGCAUCGAGCAACGCGGUGUCGGAGUCGACCAUCAUCGGGUCAGUUGAGCCUACGGACUCCAAGUCUAUGGCAGGCUCGCCGGAAACGUGGAGUUGAUCGAGGAGGCCCGCGAGGAGGUUCUCGGGGCCGCUCGUGCCUGCGUUGGAUGUAGGUUCAUCGGAGAGGCAGACCUCGCCGACAAGUUCGGCCAAGGAGCUGACCGCGCAGGCAAUUUCGACGCCGCUUAGCGCGAAGACGCAAACUCUGUCUGGCGUGCCUGGCUGGCUGCGCUCGCCAGGGAGGAAAAGGGUUCCCGGCCAAAGCAGAUCUCCGGACGGCGGUGCACCAGGCCCCACGGUGGGUGCUAAAUGUCGGGGGUUUGGUGCGACAUAUGCCAACGGAUGGCUUAUCAUGGUGGGGGCGAGUAGAACAUCGUUGGUGCCUGGAAACGGGAUGAGGCGAAGACAUGCACGCCGGUGAAUCUUACCCAGCUUUGGGGCUCUCUAGGGAGAUAAUAGCCCUACUGCUGCUCUGCGGGGUCUCUGCAUGAUCACUAUGGCCAAGUGUUUACACGGUUGCUCCUUGAGCUGUUUUCUGGUGGUAGGAGAGGGCAAGGCUAGCUCUCUCCCUUCUAUAUGAUCUGGUCUAGAGAUAAUGGGUUCCAACCCUUUGCAUGGGUGCCCUAGGGGGUUUAUAUAGGCCUACCCCCCAGGGGUACAAUGGUAAUCCAGCUGGACGCGGGCCCAGCCGUCAGUGUCUCUGGCCUCCGUCUUCUCUGCCGACCGCUGGGGCCCGUCGACUGGCGGGCCCCACCGACUGGCCCGGUACGGAGCCGACAGGCCACGUCCGCCGCGGACGGGUCUUGCCGGCUGCUGGUUACUGUAGCCGUGCUUCUGAUGACGCGGGCUUGAUCAUGAGGUCGUGGUAACAGCCCUGCCGCCUGGCGUGCGAUCACUGUUGCCACUCCCCAUCACAUCUUGAUUAAUGGCGCAUGGGCCCCGGGGGAGGGCUCUGCCGACUCCCCCGGGCCGACUCCCGACGGGUCCGACUGGUGGUUCUCCCGCCGUCUCCCGAGGUCUCACUGACUGGUGGGGCCUGCUGCCUCCAGGCCGUACAGACAAGCCGUCGUGGGUGCAGGAUUCGGCCCUGCGGUGCUGAUGUUAGGGCCGGCAUGGCAACAGUGCCACGCCGCAUGGAGAUCUUCCGGGGUACGGCGUGCUGUGGCCAUGCCUGCCCUUGGUGAGGGGCAGGGGUGGGCUUCGCUGUAGCCACGCCCCUGCCUCGUCCCCUCUGAUGAGGUCAUGGGGUUUGUUGGAGUCGCAGGCCGACUCCCCACAGCCAGCUUCUCUGCAAGUCGUCCCUGGGACUCGGCCGUGAGCGGGCAGUCGGCCGCCUUGUCGUCGACUCCCCAGGAGGCGGCUCUUCGUCCUAGGGUCUUGAGGGGCUCAGCCUGCCCCGAUGUCUUGAAAGGUUCUGGGGCUCGGGUUGGCCUACCCGCGGCCCAUUACUCCGACACCCAGGCUUUAGCACGACUUAAAGUUGUUACAGCUCCAGCUCUCGCGUAUGAUCGCUUGAUUUCUUGGAACCGGGCGGGUAAGAUAUACAGCUUCUUCAAGAUGUCACUUAAUAGAGUCGGCCCUUGAUUCACGGGGGAGAUAGUGGCAAGCGUCCGUUGAGCUCCGGUGUAAAACUGUUCAACCAGCGUGUAAACCGCCUUCAGCUUUUCCACGGUAUCCCGGUUCAGAAUGCUGCUCCUGGGACCUGCAAAUAUCAUACAAAUCAGUUAAGUGGCGGCUUAUAAUGGAAUAUAUUUAUUUGAAGUAUGUAACAAAGUGACUUACCGAAGAUUGCAGAAACCAUCUGAGACACACGGUUCUUUAAACCGGUGAGUUCAGCGGUGACUUAUCCUACAGCCGCUUCAGCCUUCUCUGCAUGUUGUGUUAAAACAGUCUUCUCAUUAGCCCAAGCUUAUUUCUCCACUGUGAAGUUGGUCUUAAAAUUUUCGGUCUCAGAAACACUCAGCUAGAAUUUGGACCCAGCCUUCUUUGUCUCUAUCUCUUGAGUCCCUAGUCGGGCCUUGGCCUCAGACAGUUGGGAUUCCAGUUCUAUGGUUGCAGCCUGCAUACAACAUAAUGUUGUUUCAGUUUCAUGGCGGAUUAUAAAAUAUAAGUCCCAAGUGUUUUGUCAACAAUAACACUUAGCACUUGGGGGCUAAUGUCUGUCAGCGCAAUUUUUUUCAAAGGAAACAAUUUUUCUAAAAAGUCCCAAGUGUUUUGCAGGCAACAACACUCGGCACUUGGGGGCUAAUGCACACUGCUUGACUUUUCUUUCUACAAGUGAGCCGGAUAAGCUGUCCACAGUCUCAGCCAGCUCAGGCAGGUUAUACGGUUCAUUUCUAUGCAAUAACUAGUAGGACCGGCUCAUUCAUACUGAUUAAACCGGCCCUUGGAGAAUAGCAGGGUAUAUAACUUAUAUGAGAUGGAGAACAUACCUCAUAUUUUUGAUGCAUCUGUUUAACCAUUUCAAUUUCUGAGUCAUGGCUGGAGUGCACUUGACUGAGAUAACCAGAUAGCACUUCACUAAUACUCAGGUGAGCAUAGUGGGAGACAUCCAACCUCACCUUUUGCCAAUCCAUAACUUCUUGUUUGGCAGAGUGUCUUGCCAAGACAGUUGGGUUCCCCGGUUCAACGAAUCUAGUGCCAGUGAUUAAAACAUCAACAUUGUGCUUCUCCGGCGGGUUAGCUGAGCUUGAUGUCUCAAUACUUGAUGGAUCAAUAGUAGUUUCAUCUGUAGACGGCUCAGGUAAAUCAGGUUGAACGUUGAAGGCAGGGUCCUCUGGCCGUUCAGCGUGUUCAUGCACAAAGGUUGACUGCUCCGGGUCUUCAGGAUGUUCUGGUACGAGGGUUGGCUACUCCGGUUCAGUGGUUCUCGGAUCCUCAGCCGGUUUUGUUACCUUUGCUUUCUUGGGCUUUGCUUGACCGCUAGAAAGGAUUUAGACAAGUCAGUACAAUGAUACAUAUUUAAAGGUGUAUAAGAAGGGUAGUUAUCUUUACCCGGGGGCGGUCUUGAAAGCUGGAAAUUGCGUCUAUGAUGAAUCGUCGGAGGAGGAACGGGAAAUCUCCUAUAAAGAUGGAAUCAAAAAUAAGUGAUGAAGGUAAUUCAUUGAAUAAAUACAAGGGUGAAAGCCAAAAAAGAACCUCAUUCUGGUGUUUCCCAGGAGUUUUUGGUAAGCCGGAGGGUAAAUCGUCAUCUCCACCGGUCUGGGUCUGCCGGCGGCUUUCAUGUUGCUGUCGUUUAAAAAGAAAAUGAGGAUCUAAAUAAGCCAAGGGGUGUCAAAACCUUACUUUCCGGGUUACCCGCCGAAGUUUCUGCCUUGGUAAAGGUUCUGAGUUGGAGGAAAUAAUAUUUACCUCUUCUUCAACUGCCUGGCUGGCCCCCGUAUCAUCCUGGUAAUAGUCAAUGUCAAUAAGGUGGUUAAAAAGCAGGCCAAGAGAGAAAGGGCUACCUCUGACUCAGAGGUGUCAUCCAGCUUGAGUAACUCAGAGGCGGUUGGCUUCUUCUUCUUCUUCUUUGAUUUUCUGACGAUUUUCUUGGCGGCUAUCGCAGCAGCUCUAGCUUUCUUGGCAGCCUCAUGGUCAUACUUGACUUUCCAAAAGUCAGGUUUAGCCUGUGGAAGGGUAGCAUGUUGAAAUUCAUGCAAAUAUUUAAACUCUGGGUUCCAAGGUCAUCAAGGUCAUCAAGGCAGACAAAGCAAUCAGGGUAGCUACCAUCAACAGUCAGGUCAAGGGAGUCAGUAGCAGCAAUCCGGGUAUCAGAGUAACCCGAAACAUUUGAAUAGUGGACAGUAUCACGUCUUCACCACAAGUUUGUGCAAACGGGAUCAGGAGUUUCAUAAAAGGGCAGUAAACUCUGUUGAACCGACAGUACCCUGUUACUUGCGCUGGUCUGAGCAGGCUAUUGUGUGGAGUCGAGAGGAUCAUCCACCCAAGGUUAAUAAUCUGGGUCAUUUAGCAUUGGUGGUCGCACCUCAUGUUGGAGGGUAUAAGUUCACCAAAGUGCUCAUGGACGGAGGGAGCAGCAUCAAUAUCCUUUAUUAUGAGACCUUCCGUUGCAUGGGGUUGACCGAUAAAAAUCUUAAGCCGUCAAACACUGUCUUCCAUGGUGUGGUGCCUGGUAAAUCGGCAUAUCCGGUUGGUAAGAUAGCUCUGGAAGUUGCCUUUGAAGAUGAUCAUGAAUCUAGAUCAGAGACAUUAACCUUUGAGGUGGUGAAAAUCAAGAGCCCUUAUCAUGCCCUGUCCGGACGGCCGACUUAUGCUAAGUUCAUGGCAAGGCCCUGUUAUGUUUAUCUGUAGCUCAAGAUGCCGGUUCAUAAGGGGACCAUCACAGUGCAUGGGAGCCGGAAUAUAGCCUAGGAGUGUGAAGAGGGUGAUGCGGUGUAUGCUGAGUCGGUUUGCGCAACAGAGGAGUUAAAGUUUUAAAAGGAUAAUAUUGACCUGGCAGAUAUGAAUUUGAAAAAACCAACCACAGAGCAUGAUCUGGUUUUAAAAUUUAAGUCGGUAGAUGACACUAAGAUGGUUGACUUUGUCCCUGGUGACUCAUCUAAGCAGUUCAUCAUUAGUGCUAAUCUGGAUCCGAAAUAGGAAAGCGCGCUCAUCGAGUUCAUCCGUGAGAACCGGGACAUCUUUGCAUGGAAGUCCUCAGACAUGCCGGGUGUACCAAGAGAACUCGCUGAGCACACUCUUAAUAUUGAUCCAAAGUUUAAACCGGUCAAGCAGUUUCUUCGCCGUUUUAAUGAGGAGAGACGGACGACCAUUGGAUAAGAGGUAGCCCGGCUCUUGGCAGUUGGGUUUAUCAUUGAAGUUUUUCAUCCUAAGUGGUUGGCUAACCCGGUGCUGGUACUUAAGAAGAAUGGCACUUGGCGUAUGUGUGUGGAUUACACAGACUUAAACAAGGCUUCUCCGGCUGAUCCUUUUGCUCUCCCUCAUAUUGACCAGAUUAUUGAUGCUACGGCGGGUUGUGAGCAUUUGAGUUUUUUAGAUGCUUAUUCUGGUUAUCAUCAGAUCAAAAUGGCAGUUAAGAACCAGGAGAAGACAUCCUUCAUAACUCCCUUUGGAGCCUUCUGCUAUGUGUUUAUGCCUUUUGGGCUCAAGAGUGCCCAAGCGACUUAUCAGAGGUUAGUGCAUAAUUGCCUUCAUAACCAAAUUGGGUGUAAUGUUCAUGCCUAUGUGGAUGAUAUUGUGGUGAAAUCCAGAGAGAAAGAGACACUGAUAAGUGAUUUGAAGGAAACCUUUGAUAAUCUCCGGAUCUACAAGAUAAUGCUUAACCCGACCAAGUGUGUGUUUGGUGUGCCGGCAGGCAAGCUCCUGGGUUUUUUGGUGUCUAAUAGAGGGAUUGAAGCUAAUCCGGAGAAGAUCAAAGCUAUCACCUCUCUGGCUAAACCGGCGUGUAUCAAUGAUGUGCAGCGCCUGGCGGGUCGUAUCGCGGUGUUAAACCGUUUCAUAAGCUAGUUGGGGGAGAAGGCUAUCCCUCUGUAUCAGAUAAUGAAAAAGACAAAUAACUUUGUCUGGAGUGAUGCUGGUGAUGCAGCGUUUGAGGAUUUGAAGAAGCAACUAAUUGUACCGCCAGUGCUCACAUCCCCUAUUGAUAAGGAGCCUUUACUGUUAUAUGUGGCUGCUAAUAGCCGGUCUGUCACUGUUGCCAUUGUGGUGGAAAGGAAGGAAGCAGGAAAGGAGUAUCCGGUUCAAAGGCCGGUUUACUAUAUCAUCGAAGUGCUCAUUGUGUCCAAGCAGAGGUAUCCACACUGGCAGAAACUUGUAUAUGGGGUGUUUUUGGCCAGCUGGAAGCUUAAACAUUAUUUUCUGGGCCAUCCUAUCACUGUGGUAAGCUCUGCUCCUUUGGGAGUUAUCAUCCAAAACAGAGAAGUAACUAGUCGGGUCGCUAAGUGGGCCAUUGAGCUUGGACCUCAUGGAUUAAAGUAUGUGCCUCACAUGGCCAUCAAGUCUCAAGCACUGGUGGACUUCAUCAACAAUUGGACAGAGCUACAGAUGCCUGAGGAAAAGCUGGAUAACACAUAUUGGACUAUUCAUUUGGAUGGGUCCAGGUAGUUGGAAGGCUCGGGGGAUGGAGCUAUUCUCGCUCCCCCUUGAGGUGGUAAAUUUUGCUAUGUUCUUCGUUUGAUGUUUCCUUGUACUAACAACACAUCUAAGUAUGAGGCCUUACUCCACGGUCUUCGGAUGGCUAAGGAAAUGAAUUUAAGCCGGGUUAGGUGCUUUGGCGACUCAGAUUUGGUGGCUCAACAAGUCCCUGGUACUUGGGAUUCUAAGGACCCACUUAUGGCGGCUUAUCGGCGAGAGGUGGACGUCAUUGCUGGUCACUUCAAAGGAUAUCAAGUUGAGCAUGUUGAUCGAAGGAAAAAUGAAGCAGUAGACGCUUUAAGUCGGCUGGUCUCUCAACGUAAGCCGGUGCCACCUAAUGUCUUUCUUGACGUCUUGCAUAACCCGUUAGUUAAGGUUCCUAUAGAGGAGGAUUUGGCUAUUCCUGACCCGGAGGCUUAGUUGGUGGUGGCUCUUCAUGUAAUCCUAGAUUGGAAAGUCCCUUAUUUGGCCUAUAUGACCCGGGGUGAGUUACCUGAGGAUGGGACCUUAGCCAGGAAGAUAACCCGGCGGUCUAAGUCAAUGUCGAUUGUUAAUGGAGAGUUACAUCAUCGCAGUGUCACAGGGGCGUUUCAACAUUGUGUGUCUCCGGAAGAAGGUUGUGAGAUCUUAUGAGAAGUUCAUGAAGGAGAUUGUGGUCAUCAUGCCGGUUCAAAGUCCCUUGUGGCUAAAGCUUUCCGUAGUGGGUUUUAUUGGCUAACAGCUUAUGCUGAUGCAGAGGACUUCAUCCGUAGGUGUGAUGGAUGUCAGAAAUUUGCACGACGUACCCAUGUGCCGGCUCAAGAGUUGAGGAUGAUUCCUAUUACUUGGCCAUUUGCAGUUUGGGGGCUCGAUAUGGUUGGGCCUUUCAGAAGAUCCAAGGAUAAGAAGACUCACCUUUUGGUGGCGGUUGAUAAGUUCACUAAGUGGGUAGAGGCAGAGACGGUCAGUAAGUGUGAUGCAGCAACGGCGGUUCAGUUCAUGAAGAAGGCGAUCUUUUGUUUUGGCUUUCCACACAACAUUAUAACAGACAAUGGCACUAAUCUUUCUAAGGGUGCCAUGGAAGAAUUCUGUCAACUUGAGCAUAUCCGGCUUGAUGUGUCAUCAGUGGCUCACCCCCAAUCCAAUGGUCAAGCUGAAAGGGCAAACCAAGAGGUCUUGAAGGGUAUUAAACCCCGGCUUAUGGUUCCCCUAUAGAGGACGCCGGGUUGUUGGGUGGAAUAGUUGCCUUCGGUGCUAUGGAGCAUCAACACCACCCCAAAUAGAUACACAUGAUAUACACCUUUCUUCAUGGUUUACGGAGCAGAGGCAGUUCUCCCUAGUGACAUCUGUCAUGACUCGCCUCGGGUGGCGGCUUAUGUGGAAGCAGAUAAUGAAAGAGCACGUCAAGAGGCACUUGAUCUAUUGGAUGAAGAGCAGGACAUAGCAGCAACUCGUUCGGUGAUUUACCAGCAAGAUCUGCGCCAUUAUCACAGCCGUCGGGUUAAAACAGAACUUUUCAAGAAGGCGACCUGGUGCUCCGGCUUAUCCAGGAUCAGACUGAUAAUGCACAAGUUAUCCCAACCUUGGUAAGGACCCUUUGUGGUCAGCAAGAAUCUAAACAAUGGGUCAUAUUACCUUAUCGAUGUUCGAGACCACAAGGACUCACACACGUCGGAGGAGGAGACCCGCCGGCCCUGGAAUAUUUCUCAGCUUAGGCCAUACUACACUUGAGCCACAGGCUCUCCUUAUGUACAUAUUUAGACAAUGUAUAUAUUAUGAUUGAUAUAAUAAACCGGCAUCCCUGCUAAAGCAGGGCCUCUGUCACAUAUAAACACUAUUCUGAUCAUGGGAUCAGAAUAAUAUUCUGAUCACAACAUGAACUUCCCGAGUUACGCACCUGACCUUCCCCGAGUACUAGGUUGAACUUCAGCUAAAAGGUGUGCAAAUGGGGCUUGCGAUAUACCGUUGGAAAGCUAUGGACAUCAGUAUCAUGACCCAAGUUAAAUUUUUGGCAAAAUGUAAGCGGUUUAAGAGCAGUUUUGAAAACCAUUUUUUCUUCAUACAAAAAAUGUGAAUCGUAUUUUCGAUCGCAUUUUUAAACCGUUUAUCUAAAUGAGGCAAGUAAUAUGGCAUUGGAAAGUUGCUGAAACCGCUCCUUCCACAUGUUGAAAGUUUUCUCUAAUUCUCUACAGUUAAAGAGUAAUUCGGAAAAUCGUAGAAUUUCGCAAAUGGAACACCCGAGUUUGUAUUUUCGAUGCCAUUUCUAAACGGCUAAUCCAAUUGAGGCAAAUAAUAUGGUGUUGGAAAGCUUAUGAAAAUGCGCUACUUUUUCAUGUGAAAAGUUUUUUCUAAUUUUGAACGGUUUAAAAGUAAUUUAGAAAAUGGUACAACUUCCAUUCGUAUUUUCGAGCUAAUUUUUUAACCGUACGUCCAAAUGCAGCAAAUAAUAUGGCGUUGGAAAGCUUGAAGAAAUGGAAACUUUUUUGUAUAUAUUGUUUCUCCUAAUUCAUUACGGUUUUAUGUUAGUUUUGAAAAUGGCUAAAAACGUAUUUUUGCCGUAAUUUCUACAAACUUUAUCGGAAUGGGGCAAAUAAUAUACCGCUGACGGAAAAUUCAAAACUUUUUCAUGUUGAUGGUUUUCUGUGAUUCCUUGCCAUUCUCAAGUAAUUUCGAAAAUGGCGAGAUCAUUCGUUCUGCCUUUAUCGCGAAACAGAUUCUUUGAAAAUGCACCGUGUGAAGAACCUGAACUUCUCGGCAUGUCUACUUGAACUUCACUCUGUUUUUCACGUGCUUUUUUGCCCGUUUCUCUCCAUCCACUGCUCGUAGCUCUCCAUCCACUCACCAAAAUUGAGCAAGUGAUAUACCGAUGGAAAGCUGCUGUAAACACGCAACUUUCCCGAGUUGAUCGUUUUUUCAUACUCGUGAUAAUUUUAAAAGUUUUUCAUCUCAAAUUCAUUCACUAUAGUAGUCGAACUUCGUGCUGUUUUCACGUUGAACUUCUGUGACGUAUUUUCGUUUUUAAUUUUCCCAUCCAUUUCAUUAGUGUUACACAAAUGAUAUUCUCUUUGUACAAACCCCUCUCACAUAGCAAAUAUUGGCAGAGCAGCAACUAUGGAUUUGAGAUGAACAAGUCUCCCAGAGUAUGACAUUAAGGAAGCAAUGCCAGAUAGUCUGUGGUCAAGUCUUGAUACCAUGGGCAUCAAAUCUGCUACUUUAGGUCUUGUAGAUCCCGUUGGUAGACCAAGAUAUGUGAAAGGCAUGGCUUCUUUUUUACAGUUGAAGGUAUUUGCCAGUUCUUGAGCUUUAUCAUCAGUCAUAUUGAUUGGAACCAUAGAAGAUUUACUAUAGUUUACAACAAGCCCAGUGAACUGGCAAAUAAUCUUUCGUUUUUAAGAUUGACUUUGUUAAGGCUUUUGAUAAAGUGAACUACAAGGCUAUCUUAUUCAUGAUGAAACAUCUGGGAUUUAGCAACAAAUGGAUUAGAUGGGUCUCAUCUAUCCUAUCUACUGAUUCUACAUCUGUCAUCCUUAAUAGUGUUCCAGGUAAAUGCAUACAAUGUAAGUGUGGUGUCAGACAAGGAGAUCCUUUUCCCCCUCUUCUAUAUGUUAUGGUUGGAGAAUUGUUGCAAAUCAUGGUUAAUGAUGCUUGGAGAAAUGGAACAUUAUCUUUACCAAUUGAGACUAAUUUUACUGAAUGCUACCCCAUCAUACAAUAUGCUGAUGACACACUGGUCAUCCUGCUAGCCGAUGAGUUACAAAUUAGAAGUUUCAUUGAGAAACUUGAAAAUUUCUCAAAAUUCACUGGGCUUGUUGUAAACUAUAGUAAAUCUUCUAUGGUUCCAAUCAAUAUGACUGAUGAUAAAGCUCAAGAACUGGAAAAUACCUUCAACUAUAAAAAAGAAGCCAUGCCUUUCACAUAUCUUGGUCUACCAAUGGGAUCUACAAGACCUAAAGUAGCAGAUUUGAUGCCCAUGGUAUCAAGACUUGACCACAGACUAUCUGGCAUUGCUUCCUUAAUGUCAUACUCUGGGAGACUUGUUCAUCUCAAAUCCAUAGUUACUGCUCUGCCAAUAUUUGCUAUGUGUUGUAUCAGAGUACCAUUCUCCAUACUGGACCACUUUGAAAAGUCUGGUAGUAAUUUUCUUUGGUAUGGUAAGGAUAUCAACAAAAAAGAAAAUUGUCUUGUCAAAUGGGAUAAUGUUUGCUUGCCAAAAAAGCAGGGGGCCUAGGUGUGUUAAACCUGAGAGCACAAAACAAAACUCUGCUUAUUAAAUUUCUUUACAAAUUCUUCAACAAGCAUGAUAUUCCCUGGGUUAACCUGAUAUGGAACAAUUACUAUGACAAUGAUGAGGUACCUAGUUUCCCUACCAUGGUGGGAUCCUUUUGGUGGAGAGAUUGUUGCUCUAAUUUGCAAGACUUCAAAAAUAUGACUAUAUGCUAUGCUGGGACUGGUGAUACAAUUAAGCUAUGGUUAGAUAAAUGGUGUUCUCAUACAAUAUCACAGUCAAUGCCUCAACUAUUUUCUUAUGCAAAGAAGGCUGACACAACUCUUGCAUCCGUCAACAACAUGGAGGAUAGUGAAUUUUAUAAAUUAUUCCACUUGCCUAUGUCUUCUAUUGCAGUACAGCAGGGUAUCAAUCUUAGAGAGUUAAUCCACAACAGAGAGAACAUCAGCUAUCAGAUUCUUGGAAAUUCUAUUGGGGUGACACAAAGUACUCUAAUAAUACAAUAUACCUUGAACUAAUGGGAAAUCCUGUUAACGCUCCUAAACCCUAUCAAUGGAUAUGGAAAUCAUGCUCACUUCCCAAGCAUAAUUUCUUCUUCUGGCUACUGUUACAAGACAGAUUAAACACUAGAGACCUACUCCACAGGAAGAAUUUCUACAUUGAGACUAGUAAGUGUGAAUUAUGUGAUGAUGAACCUAAUGAACACCUAAUGCAUCUCUUUUUUAGCUGUGAUUUCAGUCAAAUCUUCUGGAUGAACAUUGGUUACCAAUGGAACAUUGAUCAUAACCUUAUAGAAUUGCUCUUGGAGGGAAGGAAGCAAGAUACCCAUGGCUGCUUUAAAGAAUGUUUGAUUGCUGGAUGCUGGAGUCUAUGGAAACACAGAAAUAGCAUUAUUUUUUAUCACAAGGUCAAGAAUAUGACAUAUUGCAUUGCCACUUUCAAGGAGCACUUCAGCAUGAUUAUAAACAAGGCAAAACCUGGAUUGAAGGAGGGCAUGCAAAGCUGGCUAGAUCACUUGUAGACUAUUAUUAUCUUGUACUACAUCCAUCAUGUAAAUCCAUAUGUAUAUGUUUCCCUCUUAUAAAUGAAAAUGAGAAUCACAGUGGGGGUCUUCCCCACUGUUUUUGUCAAAAAAACCACUCUCACAAUACAUUUUUUAACUUUCUCCGACCGAGGACUUGAAUUUACACAAAUGAUAUUCCUGUUGUUUUGAAGUAAAUUAGAGAAAUGACGAGAUCAUGAUUUAUGCCUUCAUUGCGAAUGGAAACGCACUGCAUGAAGUAGUUGAACUUCUCGGGCAUGUCUAUUUGAACUUCACUCUGUUUCACUUUAUUGUAUUGUUCUUAUAUGAAAUACACAUCAUGUAGUACAUGAACUUCCGGUUGUUAUCACUUUGAACUUCUCGCUGGUAUGAGAGAAUUAUUUUAAAACACAAAAAACAACAUAUUUUUUUAUGUAUUUUGGACAUCUAAAUACACGGUGAACCUCUCUCGCAAGUUUUUUUGAACUUUUACUCGUCGAGCACUUGAACUUCUAGCAACCUUUUUUCCGUUUAUGAGUUGUUUUUAAAAGUGCAAAAAAUGGCAUUGUGUUUUUUAUUUUUUGAACAGGUAAAUCCUAGGUUUUAAUAAACUCUGAACUUCUUUGUUAUUUCAAUAUGAACUUCACCUUUUUAUAUUUUGAGUAAAGAAUUGUAUUCGAUUUUUAUACCGGAAAAAUCAGACAUGGAAAUAUAAGGUGAACCUCUCUCACAAGAAUUUUUGAACUUCUCCGGACAGAACACUUGAACUUCUUUCAACAAACCUUUUAAGCUUUUAUUUUUCUAUACUUUUAUUCUCACCGGAAAUGCAUUCCUUGCAGUAAUUGAACUUCUCGUUGUUUCACUAUGAACUUCUGCCACAUUUUUGUGUAUACGUCGAAUUACACGCAAUUGAAGGUUGGACGUCAUUUUUUGCCAUUUUUUAAAACAUGUAAUUGGAGGUCAAACGUCCUGUUAUGAACCAUGCACGGAGGUGCAUGUGAACUUCUUGCAACAAAUCUGAGUUUUUUUAUAUACUUCGAACUUCUCUGCUAUUUUAAUUUCAACCUCUUAGUCAUAUUCUUAGAAAGGAAAUAUGUUUUUAGAUAAGCAUCAAACAUUCUUUUUAAAAAUUGAACUUCAUUGUUUUAUUUUUCAUAGAAACGGUAAUAAUUUGAGUUUCCCAUAUACAUCGAAUUACUCCACUUUUUAAACGGCAAAAUCUUAGUUUAGUCCCAUUAUUUAAAUUUCAACUUCUAGAGUUUUUUAGAAACGCUGAUAAUCUCGUUUUUUAUGAUUUUUUGAACUGCUCUAUGUUUAAAAUUCAAACUUCUUAUUUUUAUUACAAGCGGUGAAAUAUCCGUUUCAAAUUGCUCUCUUAUUUUUGUACUAUUGUGUUAUUUUUGUGUGAACUUCUUAUGUUCUUCCCGUCAACAGAUUCAAAUUUUCCAUUUUUUAUACAUUGAAAUAUUGCUUUAUUUUAUUUUGAACUUCUUGAUUCCAUUCUUUAAUAACGAGGAAAAUCAUAGGUUCUAUAAUUAUCAAACUUCUCCAUAGUUUUAAUUUGGACUUCUUGGUUUUAUUUCUUGUAGUAGAAAAAAUUCUAGUCUUGUAAUAAACAUCAAACCACUUUAAUAACGGAACAUUUCGUAGGAUUUUUGCAAAGAGUAAAAUCUGAGUUUUUAUAAACAUCAUACAACUCCAUUUUUUUAAAUUUGGACUUCUUUGUUUUAGAGAAUAAGUAAAGUUUGAACUACUCAUUUUAUUAAAGUUGAACUUCUGAGUUUUGUUUUUUGUUAUGAUUGGGGAAAAUAAAAACUAAACAUUUUUUCGCACACAUCUAACCAUUGUUGUAUUUGAUAAUUCUUUUACAUGAGACCAUCCGAAUUUAUUCAUGUACAAACUUUAUUUUUGCAUUUCGUAUUUUGACCUUUUUGCAAAUAUCUUAUAUGAACAUUCUUUGGGCAUCUUUAAUGCACUUAUGGACGUGCACUUUUCAAGAACUAUUCAUUUUGGACUCUCACGCAUGAUGAAAUAUAAAUACAAUGAUGUGGGUGUUUUUAUUUAAUUUCAGUGCUUUGAACUAUCUUUUUCUUUUAGGUAAAAUAAGAAACAACAAUUUAACGUGGCUCACAGUUGCUUUUUUUACUUUGUAUAUCUUGGAUGUAUUUCUAGAACAAAAAUCAUAGUUGCUUUAACUUUUAAUAAUAUUACUUCGCCUUUUUCUUGAUGGGAGACGUACUUAGAUACAUUUUGUUUUGAACAAACAAUUCAUGAACUAUCUCAAACUUGACCUUCUCGAACACAAUUUCUUGGCCUUAGGAAAAUAAAUAAAAAAUAGAAAAAUACAUGGUUGUACAAGCAUAAAAAAUAGAUUGAUUUCUUUGUAUUCUCUUUUAUAUGCCUAUAGAAAUACUCAUCAUCCCCUAGGGGCGAUGCACAUGUUUCUGAGAUCGCAGAAACGCCGAAAAAUAAAAACUGGUCGCUCCAUCUAACCCCUCCGAGCGGCCCACCCUCCCUCCCGCACCACCUCUCCCCCGAUCCUCCCGACCACCUCCGUAACGAUGACAUAACAAGGAUGGAAAAUGAUAUAUCUAUAGGAAGACCAUCUGCAGAAAAGCCACAUCAUAAUCUUUAACCAUGGACAACAAGUUCAAACACAAAACCAAGGACUAUAGUAGCUAAACUCUCGCAGAAAUCUCUCUCUAGCAUUCUAGUUGAACUUGAACAGUAGCGCACCAACAUUAGCUAGAGGGCGAGGUAGGACACAACAAUAGCAGCUAGCAGCGACCACCAAAUGGAGGCUGGGUCAUGACGGUGGCACUGAGAUGGAGAAGGUGCAGGGCAUGGCAGGCAAAAAUAACUGUGAUUGAAAAGUCUUAAUCAGGUAGGUAGGCGUUACAAGAAAAAAAUAGCAAGUACAUCAAGUUUUAGUGCCUCUUUCACACAUAGAUUUCCAACAAAAUUGGCAUUCCUUCUUAUAUAGAUGAACUUGAACCCCUGGAAACUUGUGAGAUAUGAAUGCAUCUCUCGAAAGCCAUCAACCGCCUCAUAAAAAGACUUGGAAUCCUUUGACAUCAUGCAUCAAACUUGGCCUUCAGUCUCAAUAAUAUUAUUUCGUAAUCCUUUUUCAAUCACGAUCAACAUGGUUGUCCCUGCGAGCCAACUAUCAGCUUUACGAUUAUGAAAAUACUAGAUUUUGGCAAAUGUGUACGAGCUACUGAAGAAAUUGAAGAUAGUUGCAAACAAUAUACGAGCUACAACCUAACAAUUUGCAAGCGCUUGAGUGAAGGCAACACCUUUGUUCUUCUUGAACUUCUCAUUUUUCUUAUUCUGAACUAGAUGUUAUUUUUUUGCAACUGCCAGUGCCGGGAGGCCGGCUUCGCUCCGUCAGGUAGCCGUGUCCACCUCCUCACAGGAUAGCGAGCAGGGGAGGAAGGAGAGAUAGACCUGGCAGCAAGCGGGGGAGGAGCCAGAGUAGCACUACAUCGGGGAUGCAGGGUGAACCUGAACCUGAAGUACAUAACACACAUGAAAAACACUCUUAAGUAAUCCAAGCCAUAUCAAUUAGCAAGCAAGGACUAAGCUAGAAAGGAAAACGAACACACAAAACUAGUACUGGUGCACUAAGACAUUUUAGCCAACAUUUUGCGUGCACACACAAAAACUAGAGAAGUGGAGAGUGAAGAAGCAGAGAGGAGGCACAAUGGGUAGGGAACCUGCAGUGCUGCAUCCGCAUUCAGGGAUGGGUCGGGGACGAAGGAGCUUGCUGGAGCAGCACCCACCACCCCAUGCACGCAAAAUUGGAGCUGGUUGAGAUGAUAUGCGUCCUGGAAGAGUCGCCCUGCUGUUGUGGCAUGACUUGGACUGCAGCGACCCACACAAUUUUUGUUGAUGCAUACACAAUGGAGGAGAUGAGCUUCGAUUAGCGUCAAUUAGCGCGCACACAUCUGGCGAGCACAGCGGCCCCGAUCCCGGGAGUGGUGGCCCGACGGCGAUGAACAGCCAGUGCUUUGCAGGGCGGGUCCCGGCUGCGGCGCACUAUGGGGUUCGUGCGGGAGGAUGCAAGGCCGGCCCCCUCCUCACAAGGCAGCGCCCUGCCGGGAGCCAUAGCUGUGGCGCACUACAACUGGAGUCAUUGGACUGCAAUGGUGGGGUUGAGCUGGAGGAUGCAAUGGCGGCGGCGACAUGCACAUCAGUGCCGAGCAAAAUAAUGUGCCCAUUUUCGUUUUCCUGCAUUAGAAAAUGUUUUGCAAGAGAUUCCAGAUGCUACAACUAGUUCUCAUUAAAUUGGAGGAUAAAAAAUCAAAUUCCCAAUACAAAUACAUUUUUAAUCUGGAACUAACAGAGGUUACAACAGAGAACAAUCCCUGGUUUCUCAAAUUGGAAUUCAUGCCCUUUUUAUGUCAUCGUUACAAACUAGACUUCUCUUUUUUUCUAAUAAGAACACACACUAUAAAGGAAAAAUAGAAAUUUCUUUUGCCAUCCUUGGUGGAGCACAUAACGGCAGGUGCAACAAGUUCAGAGUGUGCAAGUAGAAAGGAAGAGGUUCAGAGAAAAAGACUGACACUUGGUCAUGCUGCGGAGGCGUCCUGUAGUCCAUACUUGUCUGGAGCAGCAGUGAUGAGGACGCAACUAGAGAAGGCCAACGGAAAUUUUGCAAAUAACACUCCUCGCCACAUCACAUAAUUUGAUCUCCUCCAGUACCUGCUACUACUACUCCUCCUUGUUGGAUUUGGGCACGGCCAACCUGACGACCAACAACAACAGUAGCACAGGUGGGUCUAAUUUUCCAUUAACAACCACUGUCGUACGCUGACCAUUGGAGGACAAGUCAUGGCUGUGCACGAGAGAUGCAGAGGGACCAAGGGGAGCGUGGAGUGGAUGAGGUAGGAGGGGCUGAGAACAGCAUCAUCGACAGCGGGGCUGACUAAG